UAUUGCAUAACUAUAUAUUUUCUGUUGUUUUGUUCUUGGGCAAUGGCGAACAAUGGCAUCUUCCAAGUGAUCAUUGUUUUUCUCAUGGCGCAAGUCUGCUUGCUCAUGAUAAUGGCAGCACCGGUAGCACAUGCAGCUGCUAGACCGGUGGGGUACAAUCCAGUGUGCUGCCCUAGGAACAUCUAUUGUUGCGGGUUCGCUAGCGGAUUGGCCAAUUCACCCGCACCAUCCAUUGUAUCUUGAUGUGUGGCUUUAUUCUCCCCCAAGUAGUAAGCUUAACAUAUAAAUGAUAUAUGUGGUUCAUGUGUUACCUAAUCCUAAAUUUUUGUGAUGCUACUUUCAAGAAGUUAUUGUACUAGUUACUUACAUAAUUAAAUGGGAGGAGAUUAUUAUAUAUCUUGUUCGGAAUAUAGCGCAAAGAGACUAGCUUAUGUUUACUUUAGUCCUUUUGAAAACCAGAUUAUUUUGCCGCAUUGAUUUAAGAAGAAGAAAAAAUAGUGGCCAAGCAUACACGUUGACCUGAUGAGUCUGUAGUGCGUUCCUUUGGGAAUCUCUGUUUUAUCAUUCUGUUGGUCGUACAUUGUGUCAAGAUCGUCCGUGUCAUGGCGACAUGCUUUAUUUUCGCAGAGAACAUAAUUUUUUAAAGCAUUUAUGGGGUAAUGGAGUAUAUCGCCAAUUAGUAGAAACCAACUACUAUUGACAGGCUUGUUUGUGAAUUCAGGGAUGCACAAUGUUUCGUUUUGCAUGAAUGCCAAGGUCAUGUAUUAAAAUGGUCUCGUCCCCGACGGCGGUAGAUCCGGGCCAGGAUCAAAGCAGGUGCCAAGGACUUGAUUGCUUUUUAGUUUCGUCCUUUGGGGUCCUAUUUGCAAAGUUUCUCACCUGGACUGUAAUUUCUACUUUCUGUUGGGUCCUUUUGUAAAAUGUUGCAUGCUUAUCUAAUUUAACUCUGGGCUCUUCCCGAGUUCAAAAAAAAUUAAAAUGGUCCAACCCUUACAACACCAUCCUUCCAAAAGCAUAAAAUAAAACACAUACCCUCGUGUAUAUCAACGACGUCUUUCUCCCGCACUUGCACCUCAUUGGCAAAGCUCGAUAUUGCAUUUGGAUAUCCAAAACACCCUCAGAGCCAGGGUAAACCACUCUCUGCGUGUGCUCAAUUCCUCAGAAAACAAUCAAAAAAUCAUAUAUGAAUACAACUCUUUGCUCUUUGACGGAACACAGAAGGAUUGUUUGUUGUGGAUCCUAUAUGUGUAAUCUAUCUAUCUAUACUAUACCAAUUAAAGAGUUCUCAGAAACUCCAACGAUUAAUCAAAAAUUACGAACCAUUCAUCUGGUGGGACCGAGUUUGGCACAAGGUCUGGCCAAGAACUGGAAAAGGGAAGGGAAAUGGACGGAAACUAAAGUGAAGGUAGAGGAUCAGUAGACAAAGAGAACUGAAGGCCCUGUCCUGAGCUACCCACUAAGCUUAGGCGGUUUCGAUAGUAGAUGCAGUUUUUUUAUUACCAACCGCCUCCAAUACUUACUGCAAGCGGUUAUGCUGUUCUAACCGCCUCCGGUGUACAUAUUACACGCGACGUCGUUCUAUUUGAUCACAAUCACUUGUGGAGGCUGCUUCUAAUGCCCGUUUUCUAUUAGUAGAUGUUGGUUUCGUGCGUCAACUUGUGAUGAUUGCUUUGUUUAUGGCCGCCUUCGGUGAAGUCAAAGUCGCUGGAUCUAGGGCGAUAAGUGAUGAUGAUGGUUGCUCUUUCCGGUUGUGUCUGGAGUACGUCUACGUUGGUAGCUAGAUUGGCCGCUGCCAUGUGUAUUGUUAUGUUCCAUGAUGAUAGUCUGUUGGGUGUAUUGUUACGGUUUUUGCCAAUUUUCCUGCAUUAAUACGGGGAAAAUCUUCUGUCUCGUUUUUUUAAUUUUUGCAAAUUAACUAACUAGUAUCAUGUAAUACGGGGAAUGACGCCAGCCAAACAAACAAAGGUUUUGCACCGAACCACUUGCGGAAUUGGCCUGAUUGCGGUGAGCACCCGCCACACACAAACAGAGUGCAUGCGGACUGACACUACACUCACACACAUUCUCCUACCUACGUGUUUAAGUAGACUACGAUGACGACGCCAAGGGCAGCACGCUGACCGCGCUAGUUUUUUUUAAUGUUUAAGUAGACUUUGGCCGACAGUUGACCGGUCAUUAAUGUUCAAUUAUGUUUAUUUCGGCCGCGUGGUUUCGGAACUUCUGCUUUCUUUUUGACACGGGUGAAAAUGGGUCGGCCAUCCGUCAGAUGCACCAGCCGACUUAAGCCAGAAAGCGGACGCGUCCAUCUGCUCGAUUAAUCCAAACGGACAAAAGGCGGAUAAAACACACAUCCUUGGCUGUGCGCGUUGGAAUUGCCCUAACGUACUCCGGUGAAGGACGCCAGCCAAACAAACAAUGGUUUUGCGCCGAACCACUGGCGGAAUUGGCCUGAUUGCCGACGCGGCUAGCCGAGCUAGCUAGGCCGAAAACAGGGCGCACCCGCCCACACAGAAACGGAGUGCACACUGACUGACACUGUACUCACGCACAUGCUCCUACCUACGGUACGUGUUAUCCUAAGAUGCGCUGCCAACCCCGAUGGAUCGAUCGAUGCCUCCUCUUUAUCCUGUGCAGAGUGUAGUGGAGCGCCCGCCCGUCACGUGCUCCGCUUUCCAUAAGACGAACGACAACGAGCCGCCGCCACCUGUUCUCUGCCGCAGCGCCGGCCAUCCCGCCCGCCCGCCGCUCGUCUCAAAACCGCGGUCUCGCUUCCCACCGAAUCAAAUCGCCUUUCUCCCCGCCCGCUGGUUGCGCGGUUUCCUGCAACCUAUAAAAAUUCAGCCGGAGAACCGCACCUGUCCAUCCAUCUCAUCUCACCUCACUCACACUACUACUGAUAUCAGCUAGGAGUACUCGAGUUCACUAGCUACCAGUUCGCUUCCUUCCUUCGGCACCAGACUCUCUCCCACGAAGAUGCCUACGGUGACCCGUGCCUACCUCGACCAGAGGCUCGCCGUCGCCAACCGCUGCUCCAAAGGUAACCAAAACCAAGCGGUUCUCCAGGCCACAUUGCAGCUUUACGUACUGUCUCUUGCUGAAACUUUGGUCGUCACUAACACAUGUCUGCGUUGAUCUGGAACUGCAGAGGCUGCCAUGGCUGGAGCCAAGGCCGCGGCCGUCGCCACCGUCGCUGCCGCAGUCCCCACUGUAAGUACACGUUUCUCAUCCGGCACGGCUGUCUUGCAAACAUACAACAAUCAUGCAUCUCAGUCUCACCGUCUUCUUCUUCCGAGCCUUUCUCUGCAGCUGGCGAGCGUGAGGAUGCUGCCGUGGGCGAGAGCGCACCUGAACCCCACCGGGCAGGCCCUCAUCAUCUCCACCGUCGCCGGGAUGGCCUACUUCAUCGUGGCCGACAAGACCAUCCUCUCCAUGGCCAGGAAGCACUCCUUCCAGAACGCGCCGGACCACCUCAAGAACACCUCCUUCCACUGAUUAGGCAGUAGAUCCUGUAGUAUAAUGUCUGCUGAAUCCACCAUGGGUAGUGCGCAAUAAACUUCACGCCGACCCGUACGGCCGUACGUGUCUGCUGAAUGAUACAGUAGUAUAAUGUUCAGCGAGAGAGGCGAGGCGAUGCAGAUCAGGCCUUGCGCUUCUAUCCGUGCAAGCACUUAUCGGAUGAUGAAGUUACCAUGUAACCCAGCCAGUAUUUUCUUGAAUUAAUGAAUACCAGUAUUUGUACAAUUCUGGUUCAUCUGCCAUCACUACUCAUCUUACAUGUGCCAGAGCAUGCAAAAAAGACUAAGCUAAGGGCAUCUCCAACGCCGGCCCCUAAAAGAAUAUAUUUGUACAAGUCUGGUUCAUCUGCCAUCACUCAUCUUACAUGUGCUAGAGCAUGAAAAAAGAGCCAACUAAUUAAUGGUAUCUCCAACGCCGGCCCCUAAAAGGGACACAAUAUCCGUUUACGAGCCGGCCAUCCAACGCUAAUCCAUUAAACGUCCAGACACAUUUCAAAUAGACUUUAAACAAACUAGAUAAGUUUAUACAAACCGAACGAUUUUCAUUCAAACUGGAUGAAAUUCAUUACAUUUUAGAUACAUUUCAACUAAACAAAAGCAAAUAACACUUUUUAACCCAGUCUAAAUAUUCGUCAGUCCUGGAGGCCUCCGUGUUCCACAUGAUGUCUUUACCAUGUCUGGCAAGUUCAAUGGCCGCAAACUAUUGUGAAGUGAAGUUGUCGGAGGGGAAGAAUAUGACAUGGGACACGAGACUUGCCCACAUCUGUGUCCCACCUCCUACUCUUCCCGGCCAGAGUUCAUCCUGUGGACGUUGCCGGACAUGGAUGGAUCGGCCUCGUGGCCGUUGCGGUUGGGCACUAACUGUGCUAGCGGCGCGAUCAACGCGGAACUGGCGAUGUCCGUGAUUUUUGUGCCUCCUCUUCGUCCGCCUCCACCUCGAUCUCUGUGAGCAGGGCGUUAGUCUCCUCCUGCUAGACGCACUGCUGCCAUCGCUCGCGAGGGAUGUCGUGAACUGCGGCCAACGACCAUGAGGCUUGUCCACCCGGCAUUUCCGACAUGGAGGUUGUCUCAUCUCCAACGACAAGUAAAACUAGGAUAGUUUGAUCUAUGUAUGAUAUAGUAGGUGGUUUAAUUUUACGUUCCAUCAUGGAGUAUCAAAAAAGUCGAGGGUGAGAUUUGAGGUUUGUGGUUGCAGCGAGAGAUAAAUGAAGGGUGAGCGGGCUCUGUCCGCAGAUACGUCCGGAUGCAUUUGCGAACAUAUGGGGUCACUUUUGAAAUAUGCAGCUGUAGAUGUUGUAACAUUACCAAGAUUUCAACGGAAUUGAAUCGGGAUGCCUUUUUGUGUGGAAAAAUAUGCAGCUGUAGUUUCCUACCUCUUCAUCAUUUUUUUGCAGGAAAGGCUGAAAUAAAUCCAGAAAAAUGCAAACACUAAUGUCAAAUCUAUAAUUUGAAUCUUGGUGGGCUGGGAUACCACCGUCCUCCAAAUAACCACAGGUUCGUUCGCUUCUGCCUCUUCAUCUUAACGAUGCACACAUCCAUACUUAUAUUUACUAUGAACAAUUGUGAGUAGGAGUAAUAAAAUUCAGUACACAUCAAUCAGUGGAGGGAGAAAAAAGCCACAAGCUGUGUAGGCAAACAUGCCUACACAAAAAGCAUAAUAUUGGAUCAUCUAUCCUACGUGAAAUGUUAUGUUAUUUUUAAACAGAGAUAAAAGAUAUGCCUCAUGUAUUAGGGAAGAAAAGAAAGAUGGGAGGGGCGUUUUGGCUACCGCUCCCAAUGAACUGUACUGCAAAAAAGUUGUAAAACAUAUUAGAAAAACAUUGAUUUUUUUGUUGAUGUUCGUGUUAGCGUCACAAGCAUGCUUGACAAUUUUCAUGCCAAACGGAGCAGUAGUGUUUCGUUAGAGAAAAAAAAUAUUUAUUGUGUUUUUUUUUUUUGCACAAGCCAAAAUGUUUGGCCUUUUGCCCAAAACUUUGCAGGUAACAUUGGGAUGUGACUAUAAAUACAUGAAAUAUAUUUGUUGGUAUUUUUUUUUGACAUUUCAAAAAAUAUUUUUCACACGCAGAAGCACGUGCUCCCGAGAGUCAAAUUGGAUUUCUAGAGAAUGACUCUAAAAAAAGUAAAAAGAGAAUAGAUCAUGUGUUACAAGCCCCAAAUUAGAAUAAGAUUACUCUCAAGCCCCAAAUCUGCGUGACUUUCUAUAUGACUUCACCCUUAUAGAUCGUAAAAGAUGUUAGUCAAAUAUUAAAACAGGCGAUCUAAUUAUUUCCCUAGAAAAAAAGUGCUCAACUUUAUCCAAGAGCAUAUACGUAUACGCCCUUGGGACCAAAAUAUAAGAUGUUUUUGCUGUUUAAAUGAACUACUAAAAACAUCUUCCCUUCAUGAAGGCGUUGCUGUUGAGAACCUCGUUGUCCUUGUGGUGUCAUGAGAUGAUUGGUGAUGAUAUGAUUACUAUUUUAGAUUGUCGCUCGCGGAUUUGAUCUUUUUGGAUUUUUUUUUCUUGCUUGGGCAUUGCCUUGGUCUUAUAUGACUUUGUAUUUGCCGGCCGUUUUUUUUUUGUGUGUGAAUGUUGGUGUUCACAGUGUGCAUCUUAACUAUGCAUAGGCCGGAUGUGUGCUCAUUUUUAUGGAAUUCACUUGAUGCUUUAUUUUGUAUAAUAAAAUCCACCCUUCACAAAAAAAAAGCACUAUGCUCGGGCCGACCCCGCCAAACAAAGGAUCUGUACCGAGGUGCUCUCGGAAUUGGAUCGCCGACGGGUUGCUGGGAGCGCCCAGACCACACACAUCGCCAACAAAACGGAGUGCUAUAACGCUGACUGACACUGCACUCACGCACAUGCUCCUACGUCUACGUGUUAACCUACGCGCCGCCCGCCGGCACCAGUACCAAAACCACGGUCUGGUCGUCUUCCUGCCCGGCCGCACGCCGGUUGCGCGGUUUCCUGCAACCUAUAAAUCCGGCCGGACCACCUUGCUCUGCCCAUCUCUUCUCACUCACAUCCACGCUCCACUGACACGCUAGCUACUUCGCUUCCUUUGGAUCUCCUGCCAGGCUGCCACAAAUCUCUCCCGCGAAGAUGUCGACGGUGACCCCUGCCUACCUCGACCAGAGGCUCGCCGCAGCCAAGCGCUGCUCCAGAGGUAACAGUUCCGGCCUCAGCCCAGCAUCUGCUCUGCUCGUAUACAGGGCCGGCCCUGAGGGAGGGCAGGAAGGGCGGCCGCCACGGGCCCCCACCUUACAGGGGCCCCCACGCCUAGUAUGCAUGCAUUCGGCCGGUAGCCCAUGGCCUAAUUUUUCGCUGCUGCGACAUGCGAUUGCCAGCCUGUAUGGGAAUCGCAUAGUAAAGGGCACAUGUUACGGGAGCCCGGGAGCAAUCUACGGUCGUUCUUUCAUCUUCUUUUGCUCGUUUCCUAAAAUUUUCCUUCGCGAUGCAACUACGCGACCACGAUCUAUCUGUACGCGACGAAAGCGGCAAUCGGCGGCGGCUAUGGUGCAGAGAUCGGAGAGUUUCGGCCAACGCAGAGAUUGUUACUCUGGUGCUCCGGCUUGGCGCCUCUUUGUGUGAUCUGAUCGCUUCUCUAAUGCUGCGCCUAGAGCUCUAGGGAAUUCCUUCUUGGAUCCAACCAGGGCAUCAAUCGAUCACCAGUUAACCACUUCUUGUCUUGCCGGACGGAACCUUUGUACGUACACGGGUAAUACCAUCAAUCACUAAUUAGUUAUCUAUAUAGGUCAAUUAUAUUAAAAUAUUUCAUUAUAAUUGGUUUGUGGAUCUUCUGUGUUUUUUGGAUUUCAGAACUAUGGAAAGGAUUUGUGGAUGAGUUGAUAAAAUCACAAAGAGGAGCUAUUGAUAAUUAUUUUGAGAAUGCCAUUGACGCUUGGACGAAUAUAGAGUUUGUGACAGUAGCUAUGGAUGGGCGAGCUAAUGGAAUACAGGGAGAAAAUGUGAAUGUAAGUGACCCUGAGAACACUCUUAACACAUUGGAUGCACGGCACAGUCCGCCAGUUAAUUUUAUGUUAACUUUGCAUCACAUGUUGCUGUGCAUCGAGGGAUGUAGAAUUAUAUUAAGGUAAUAUGUACAGGUUACGUGACAUAAAUAAUACUUUUAGAUGCAUUCAAGUGUUAACAGGUAACAGUCCAAUAUAUAACAGAAAUAGCCAAUGUGUCUUUGGUCCCAUUGCACCCGAACUGAAUUUUAUAUCUUAGAAGUAAUGAGAAGAGUAAAAAGAAAGUGAAACUUUUAUUUUAACAAAGAUGCCUUCGCGUAGUACUAUAUAAAUGCAUGAAAAGUUUCGCCAAGGAAUGACUACCAUGGUAUCCUGGACAAAAAGACAAAAUUGAUAGUACUCUAUAAAUGUUACCAUUCACAUUUUUUGGGCCUGCAAUUAUUUUCGCUGAGAAUACCAUGAGAGUCAUUUCUGCCCAAAACUUUUUGACUCCUUUAGUUUUCUAAUAAAUUUUUACAAUUCUGGUGCAUUUGCCCUAUGUUUGAAAUAUCCGCAUCCUAUAUAUAUAAUGAUCGCUAUUGUUAUGGUGUUUGUAUUAAGGGCCCCGAAUUUUAGUUUUGCUCCGGGCCCCCAAAAUCUUAGGACCGGCCCUGCUCGUAUAUCCCACCCAUUGCAGCCUAUGCGUCUGCUGAAACUUGACCUGGAUUAACAUUCCUGCGUUGAUCCGAAACUGCAGAGGCUGCCAUGGCCGGAGCCAGGGCCGCGGCCGCAGUACCCACCCUAAGUAGCCAGCUAGCCAUUCAGUUACAGAGUUCAUAGCACAUAUCUCAUGAAUGCGUUACCUGUCAUUUCAGCUGGCGAGCGUGAGGAUGCUGCCGUGGGCGAGGGCGCACCUCAACCCCACCGGGCAGGCCCUCAUCAUCUCCACCGUCGCCGGGAUGGCCUACUUCAUCGUCGCCGACAAGACCAUCCUCUCCAUGGCCAGGAAGCACUCCUUCGACGACGCGCCGGACCACCUCAAGAACACAUCCUUCCACUAAUUAUACUAUAAUAGUAGAUCCAUUAGUAGUGCGUAAUAAACCGUGUACGCCGGUCGCCGAAAAAUAGUACUAUAAUGUUCAGCGAGAGGGGCGAUCAGGCGAGGUGAUGGUAUAAUUAUCUGAUGAUGUACUUAUGUAAUAAUGUGGGCAUGUUCUCCAUCUUGUCAUCUUUCCAGGGAUCGUAAAUUAAUAACCAGCUCUUGUACAACUUUGCUUCAAGUACACUCACUCAUGACCCAUCUCACCUUUUUCUUGUUUGCGAUUACAGUUUGACACGCGUCAGAGCAUUGCAAAAGACCGAGAUAACACUAGACUACUAUCGUCUGUUCUGUCGCGAAACGCCACCUGACCUCACACUCUAAAUCUUUUGAGACAGUUUAUUGGAUGCCUUGGCAAAUAAGGAUGGAAAAUUUAGCAGUUUUGAAACUAGCUUUCUGUACUAGUGGAGCCCCCCUGUUUAGGUUGGAGGUGUUUCUCGAGACCGGAGACGCCUCGACAUUUUACAGGUGACUUGGUUCUAUUUGAUCACAACCGCUUGCGGAGGCUGUUUCUAAUGCCCGUUUACCCGUUUUCUAUUAGUAGAUGUUGGUUUCGUGCAUCAACUUGUGAUGAUUGCUUUGUUCACGGCCGCCUUCGGUGAAGUUGGAGUCACUGGAUCUAGUGCGAUAGGUGAUGAUGAUGACGCCUGUGUGCAGCCAUGCAUGGCGGAUGAAGUCUUCUCGGUUGUAUUUGGAGUCUACGUCGGUAGCCAGAUCGGCCGCUGCCAUAUGUAUUGUCAUGUUCCAUGAUGAUAGUUUUUAGGUGUGUUGUUACGGUUUUUGCCCAAUUUUCUGGACAAUUUUUUUCUUAAUUAUUGAAAAUGAUAGAUAUUUUGUCUUGUUUAUCUUUUUUUUGCAAAUCAACAAUUUUUUUUGCAAAUCAACUAACUAGUACUCCCUCCGUAAACUAAUAUAAGAGCGUUUAGAAUAUUAAUUUAGUUAUCUAUAAAUAUUCUUAUAUUGGUUUAUAGAGGGAGUACCAGGGAGUAUCAUGUACUCUGGGGAACUACGGCAACCAACCAAACAAAGGUUUUGCACCGCACUUCGGGUUCGCUGGGAGUGGCUCAGAAGAACGGAUCCCAGCCGGCCGUGGCAAGGCCUGCAUCUCAUAAUCGAUAAGGAAGCAAAGGCAGUGUUUGACAGCAUGGUGCUCAUUAGAGUUGGCGAGGGCUCAAAGAUUCUUUUCUGGACCGACAGGUGGAUACACGGAUUUUCCAUCAGGGACAUCGCUCCCCUGCUCGCGGCCAUGGUCGAUAAGCGUACCAAAAGCAGACGAACCGUCCAGCAGGCUCUCCUCCAUGGUGCUUGGAUGCUAGACAUCGAAGGCCAACUCUCAUUCAUUGCCCAUAUUCAACUCGUUCACCUUCAGCAGGCGAUCGCUUCGGUGGUUAGGAAUGAGGCGGAACCUGAUGAUUUCAUCUGGCCGUGUGAUGACACCGGAUCCUACUCGGCAAAGUCCACCUACAAGAGGCUCUGCUUUGGCCUAACACGCUCUGCCACCGCUACACAAAUAUGGAGAAGGUGGGGCCACUCAAAUGUAAAAUUUUCGCCUGGCUGACCUCGCAAUAUCGACUGUGGACCUCGGAUCGCAGAGCAAGACACGGACUGCAAGAGACCACUUCGCCUUGCUUCACGUGCGAUCAGGAAGAGGACAAUGUGGACCACAUUCUGGCCCAGUGCGUCUACGCGAGACAAGUUUGGCACGAAUGCUUCGAGGCCCUACAAGCAAACAUUCAGAUCCCAAGCCAAGACGAUUCAUUCAUGGCAUGGUGGGAGAGGGCGUGUGCCUCCUUUCAUGGGAAGAUCAAGAGAGGUUUCGACUCCUUUGUUAUCGCUUCCGCAUGGCACCUCUGGAAGCAAAGGAACGCUAGGGUGUUCCAUAGAGACGACCAAGUGAGACCAGCCACUAGUUUAGUGCAUACUAUCCUUGAUGAGAUAAAGCAAUGGAAUUGAAAUCGGCGGGAGUAGGAGUUGAGGGUCUGGAUAGGUUUGUAAGAGAGCAGGCUUUAGGUUUCUUUGUGUGGAGUUGGAGUCCAUUCUUGUAAUCAACUUUUCUGCCUUCUAGAAAAAUACGGUGCGCUUUUGGCGUACUCUAGGAAAAAAAAGGUUUUGCAGCCAACCACUGGCGGAGUUGGCCUGAUUGCCGACGCGGCGAACCGAGCUAGCUAGGCCGGAAACUGGGAGCGCCCGCCCAAACAAAAACGGGGUGCACGCUGACUGACACGGCACUCACGCCCAUGCUCCUACGCUGACAGACCUGCCAACCCUGAUGGAUCGAUCGAUGCCUCCUCUUAUCCUGUGCAGAGUGUAGUGGAGCGCCCGCCCAUCACGUGCUCCGCUUUCUAUAAGACGAACGCCAACGAGCCGCCGCCACCUGUGCUCUGCCGCAGCGCCGGCCAUCCCGCCCGCCCGCCGCUCGUCUCAAAACCGCGGUCUCGCUUCCCACCGUAUCGUCUCCCUCUCUGCUCGCUGGUUGCGCGGUUUCCUGCAACCUAUAAAUCCAGCCGGAGAGCCGCACCUGUCUAUCCAUCUCAUCUCACCUCACUCACACUACUACUACUACUACGGAUCUCAGCUAGCAGUACUCGAGUUCACUAGCUACUAGUUCACUUUCUUCAGCACCAAGUCAAGAUGCCUACCUCGACCAGAGGCUCGUCGCCGCCAAGCGCUGCUCCAAAGGUAACGAAAAUGAUAUCAUGCCGCGCCGGUCCUCAAGGGCACAUUGCAGCUUUCUGUACCGUCUCUUAUGAAACUUGAUCGUAACCAACAUGUCUCUGUUGAUCCGGAACUGCAGAGGCUGCCAUGGCGGGAGCCAAGGCCGCGGCCGUCGCCACCAUCGCAGCCGCCAUCCCCACUGUAAGUACGCGUUUCUCAGCCGGCGCAGCUAGUUGCAAGGGCCAACAAUCAUGCAUCUCACCGUCUUCUUCCUCCGUGGCUUUCUCUGCAGCUGGCGAGCGCGAGGAUGCUGCCGUGGGCGAGGGCGCACCUGAACCCGACCGGGCAGGCGCUCAUCAUCUCCACCGUCGCCGGGAUGGCCUACUUCAUCGUCGCCGACAAGACCAUCCUCUCCAUGGCCAGGAAGCACUCGUACGAGACGGCGCCAGAGCACCUCAAGAACACCUCCUUCCACUAAUUAGACACUUGAUUGGUUCAAAAAAACUAAUUAGACACUUGAUUAGCCAGUGCCCAAUAAACUGUGUACGCUGGCCCGUGGAAACGUGUGUUCUGAAACGUAUGAUGUUCAGCGACAGGGCCAGCAGGCGAGGCGACGAUGGUUGCAGUGCUGAAAGGUGGUGUACAGCCCUUCAAUUUGUGCGAGCAAGCACUAAUAAUGUGGCCAUGUUCUCCAUCUUACUACUAGUACCUUCCCGGAGAUCUUGAAUUAAUAAAAACUACUAGUUCUAAUUUUGUACAACUCUGGUUCAAGUGCACUCACUCAUCUUACCCUUUUUCUUGUUUGCGAUUAUCAUUUAACACGCGUCAGUGCAUUGCAAAAGACCGAUAACAGUGACCCCCCUACUCCUGCUCUGUUGUGUUCCGAAAUGCACGUGAGCAUCAUGCCACCUCACACGUUGAAUCUUCUGGUAUGGUUUAAUGGAUGGGUUGGCAAGUAAGGAUGUUUCUGAAAAAUGAAAAAAUUAGCUAUUUUGGGACAAGCUUUUGUACUAGUGGAGGACCCCCGUGUGUAGGUUUGAGGUGUUUGUCCGCAGAGACCGGGGCACCUCGACAUUUUUCUUGGUCGUGAGUCAAAUAAAAUGUAUUCAUACCGCAUCCGCGUGUAAGUGUGCAUUGUAAAUACUCUCUCUGGUCCUUUUUUAUUGUGCAUAUACGAUUGUUUUUUCCAAAGUCAAACUUCGUAAAGUUUGACCAACUUUAUAAAAAAAAAUCAAUAUUCACACUUCGAAAUCAAUAUCAUUAGGUGUGUUAUGAAUAUAAUUUUUAUAUUGUAUAACUUUAAUAUCGUAGAUGUUAAUAUUUUUCCAUAUAAAUUUGAUCAAAGUCGACGAGCUUACCAUUCGGCGAGUUGAUCUUGUGGACGACCCCCUUCUCUGGAUCCUCCACCUCCGUCAGCUCCGACAACUCUUCAUACAGGUCCAUGCGGUGGCAGACAGCAAAAAGCACGGGAAUUGAGCAGAGAGGGUGAGGAAAGCGCGGGUUUUGGCGUGAAAACGGUGCGAGCCUCUCCAAAUGCGCGGGCUCCGCCAUGAUUUUGGGUGGGCAAAUUGCAGGGGCGGACACAGAAAUGAUGUGGAGUGGGGGCAAAUAAUAGGAGCGGGGGCACUUAAUGUACAAAUGUGAAGAAUUUCAAAAACAAUCUUAUAGAAUACAAGGAACUUUUACUGAAAUUUCAAAAAUUGACUGGGGGCCUGGGCACCCACUCAGCACUAUGUAGGUCCGCCUCUGGCAAAUUGUGUUUGAGUCCUAUGGGGCACAUGUCUGAACUCCCGCAAAGCCCCUUGGUUUGCGUCCGAUUAGCAAGAAAACGAACACGUGGGUGCGUCUGAGGACAAAUAAGAGUCCAUGUUGAAUCUGAACGACUUGAUCCGCAUACUUGUGGUUUGUUUGAGGGUCUGGGUUGAAUGGAGUGUUGUAUGCAACAUCGGUAGGCCCAGACCAGAAAAAACGUAAGAAGUGCCGAAGCAGUUCACACAUCACACAGAGAAGGGCUAGUCCGGCCGGGGAGCAGAUGCCGCCGGUUUCGCCCGAAAACGGGGAGCGCCGCUCGCCGACCGACCGACGAUUUACGAGUGAAACUGGCGGCACCCGCUUUGUUUCGUUUUUUUAGGGCAUGGCCAAUGGGUGGCCUCAACCUGCUGCCCCGCAGGUCCAUGUAAGAUCGGAGUUAGGUUCGGACUAAAAGAUAUAGCCUCGCACUAGCAGGUGUAGCCUGCAGAAGAGCCAGCUUCUUCAGCGUGAAAAGCGAGAGAAAGAAAGAAAAAGGCAGCUCUGCUGAUGCAUGCAAGGAGAGAGAUAGAGAGAGGAAGAAAAAUACUAGGCAUGUGAAGGACGAUGGGUCCCGCUACAGCAGUGUGGCUCCGGUUGGCCAGGAUUUUUUCAAAACGGUGGUUUCCUUAUUUUUUUGAUUAGUUUAAGAGGUGAGGCACUAUCAGGGUGAUGCCCCCGUUGUACAUGCCCUUAUAUGAUGAUCGGAUCAGCACUGUUGUGCCUAACUUUAGAUUGAUCGAGAUCUCCCUUUUCUUGCUGGCUUUAGUUUGGUGGGUAAAGAAAGAAAGAAAGAAAGACGAGGGAGAACACCCUCCAACGGACAAACAUCAUCCAAUCCUGUGGAUUCCCAUACCACAGUUUUGGAUAACCGGCCCCUGCAACCUGCAUGCCGCUCCCGGAAAGCGUGCUCUGCCCACCAACGCAGUUCAUCACUCCAAGUCCAAACGAGUGAGCAGAGCAGAGCACCCACGGUUUGGAUCCCAAAACCGUGCGUGGCCGCCACCUUUUUGCCCGCUAUAAAUACUUGGCUCAACUCCUCGUCCCGGAAGCGUCAAGCAACAGCCAGCCCAUCUCAUCUCAUCUCGCUCGAUCAUCGCACUCUUCGUGCUGAGCCGUUUAUGCACAAGACCACGGCGAAGAUGUCGUCGACGGCCACCGUCACCCGCGCCCACCUCGAUAACAAGCUCGCCCUCGCCAAACGCUGCUCCAGAGGUACCUAGUAACCAGCAGGAUCCAAUUCUUCAGAGGUCAGUUCAGUUCAGCCAGGUCGUGUACUGAUAGUCUGACACUACAAAUGCAUUUCUUUUCCUAAUGUUUCCCAGAAGCGACGCUCGCCGGAGCCAAGGCGGCGGCCGUCGCCACCGUCGCGUCUGCGGUGCCCACGGUGAGCUCCUCCGUCCAACAGGAGUUGCUGAUUUUCAUGUAUAAGGAAAGCAAGAGUUUUUCUUUUGUCCGGUUUUCAUAACUGAACUGUGUAUCGUGCAGCUGGCGAGCGUGAGGAUGCUGCCAUGGGCCAAGGCGAACCUGAACCCCACCGGCCAGGCGCUCAUCGUCUGCACCGUCGCCGGGAUGGCCUACUUCGUCGCCGCUGACAAGGCCAUCCUCUCGCUGGCGAGGAGGCACUCGUACGAGAGCGCCCCCGACCACCUCAAGGACACUUCCUUCCACGGUGGCGCCGCCGCCGCAGCUCGUCCCCGUCCGCCGGCAUUCUUCAGGCCUUGAGCUAGUAUUAUCCUGCUUCUGCCGUUGGCCGUUGCGCGUAUUCUAGAAAAAAUGUAUGCGUCGUUGUCAGUGUCCCAAGAAACCGCUGCCGCAUGAAUAUCUGACGCCGAAAUGUAUGUACAUCCGUGUACUGAAUAAAACAGAGGGCUCGAUCCUGGUUUCAUAUAAGCUGUGUACGACAGACUUCAGAAGUUCAUUGCAGCUUAUGUGACUGCUGAAACUUGAUCUUGAUUAACAUUCCUACGUCGAUCCCAAACUGCAGAGGCCGCCAUGGCGGGAGCCAAGGCCGCGGCCGUCGCCACCGUCGCUGCCGCAGUCCCCAUUGUAAGUAGCCAUUCAGUUCUUCGACGAAAUCCUUGCUCGGUUCAUAGCACAUAACCCCAGCGGGCAGGCGCUCAUCAUCUCCACGGUCGCCGGGAUGGCCUACUUCGUCGUCGCCGACAAGACCAUCCUCUCCAUGGCCAGGAAGCACUCCUUCCAGGACGUGAGAGCACCUCAAGAACACCUCCUUCCACUAAGUAGCCUAUAAUAGAUCCAUUAGUAGUAGGUAAUAAACCGUGUACGCCGGUCGCCGGCCGGUCUGUAGCCCUGCAUAAUGUUCAGCGAACCACGAUCAGGUGUACUGCGCUUCCUUCUCUGCGAGCAAGCACUAAUUAUCUGAUGAUGUAUGGAAUAAUGUGGUCAUGCUUUCCAUCUUAGUAUCUUUCCAGACAUCUUUAAUUAAUACUCCCUCUGUCCCAAAAUAUAAGAACGUUUCUUAUAUUAUGGGACGGAGGGAGUAACAACUAGAAGUACUGUUUGUACUACAACUCUGGUGCAAGUGCACUCACUCAUCUCACCUUUUUUUUACCAUUUGACAUGCGUCAGAGCAUUGCAAAAGACCGAGAGAACACUAGACUAAUAGUUCAUUCUUUUGAACUCGUACUACUCUCCUCUGUUCUGUCACGAAAUGCCACCUGACCUCACACUUUAAAUCUUUUGAUACAGUUUAUUAUUGGAUGCCUUGGCAAAUAAGGAUGGAAAUUUUAGCAGUUUGGAAACAAGCUUUCUGUACUAGUGGAGCCCCCCCUGGUUAGUUUUUGAGGUGUUUCUCGAGACCGGAGACACCUGGAUAUAUUUCAUGGUCGCGAGUUAAUAUACAUUCUUAUCGCAUCCGGGUGUAAGUGUGCAUGUGAGAUAUUCCAAAAAAUGAAAACAUGUGUACAGUAUAGAAAAGUUCAUAGAGGUGGGCUUGAUUUAAGGUUGUAAAACUAUGUGCUCGUUUGAAUUUGUUAUACAUAAGGGCAUAAGGGCAUCUCCCGCGCUUUUCUUUCAAUGCACACGCCGCUUCCCGCACCGCAUCAAGGCCGGCCCGGAGCACGCGGCAGCCGACAUUGAUGUCAUGUGAUGUGAUAGGACGGAAGGGCGGCGUUGACCGACGCGACCUCUCGGGAGUCGCCGCUUCAAUGCGGACGCAUCUUCCUGACGAACCAAUUUCAGCCGCUGCACCACAUUGAAGCAGCUGACCGUCUGUUUGCAUGGCCUAGCCGUGGCUUGAUAAGCUGUGCUCCGGCGCUGUCCACAUCGCACUCACCGCAUCGCUCCGCACAUCCUCCUCCUUCCCUCCCUUCUUCCUCCACAACUCCGGCGAUGGGCAAGUCGUGGGCCUCAGUGCCGGCAGGCGGGCCGCUUCGGAGGAUCUUGGCGAUGCCGCCCACAAACCCCGGGGUUGUCGUCCUCAUCGGCGGGCAGCUUCUCGCAGAAGGCGGAGAUCAUCAUCUCCUCCGGCGACGAGGAGGACCAGUCGGCGCCGGUGUUCACCGUCAUGGAAGAGGAGUACGAUCAACAGAUGAAGGUAAUGCUCUGUCGCUCCGUCCUCCAUGUCAACGGCCCGGUGGCUCCACCGGAGACGCUCCUCCGCGUGAAGCCUGAGCCCACCUACCCCCUGCGCUCUCCCUCAUGCAACUGCGGCGUCCAGACCGGACGUCGCGUCAAGGACAAGCCCCUCUCACCGCCCCAACGCGUCAAGCAUGAGCGACUCUCUCCGCUGCCCCGCCACGUGAAGGAGGAGCAGCACUCUCCGCCGCCCCAUUGUGUCAAGGAGGAGCACCGAUCACCACCGCCCUUAUCCCGUGCGAUCACCCUGAAGGUGCGCAGUCGCAUUCGCCACUAUCUCGGUGGUGGCAACCGUUCGUCGUCCUGGAGCAUCCUAACGGCGCAGGAUUACGCCGGCAGGGAGCGACGCCGGCGGGAUAGGCACAACGCGGCGCACCGGUCUGAGUUCAUGGACUCCAAUGUUCUGCCGCCACACAACGCGGCGGACCCGGACCUGGCAUACAACUAGGUCCUGGAUCACUCCAUGACGAUGGCGAGCAAGCGCCAUCUUCGUCACCUCGACCAGGAGAUGGCCAAGUACAACGAAAAGUGGUCUCUUAGUGAGAUCGAUGUCGCCAACGCUGCCUCCUCCAAGGCCCUGUCCACAUCAUCGGUGGCCGCGGCCGCAUUGUGCACAACGGAGGAGGAAGCGGGGAGAAUCAUCCGCGAGCGUUAGGCGGCUGCCGGGAAGCCCUGCCGCGACGCCGCACCCUUCCGCCUCCCGAAGCCCGACGACGACGAUGACGGCAACGGCUCCGGUGAUGAUGCCAGAGGAGCCGCUGGCCAGCCCGGCACGGUCUAUGAGGUCACUGUGAAGUACAGGGUAGUGUAGGAUUAGGUUUUUUAUGGUUUUUAGUUCACCGUACAAAAUAUUGUCCGGUUUUAUGAAAAACUUAUCUAAGUUUAAAUGAAUAUUGUCCGGUUUGUUUGAGUUUGCAUCAAUUUGGUCAUUUUCAUUAAAAUUCAUUUGAAGUUUAAAUGGACAUAUGCGCCUAGCUUUGGAUGGUCGCCUCCUGUAUCCGUGUCCGUGAACUGGACACCCUGUUGGUAGACGGAUUCCAGAGCAAAUUUGCGGGACCACGUUGGAGAUACCCUAAGAGUAUCUAAAACCGGAGCUCCCAUAUUGUUCUAAACUUCUCAAAUUGCUUAAUCAAAUCCCACCUAGUUACUAUGGUAGCGUCUACAUGCAAUUGACAAUAAAACCGGUCACUAAUUGUCCAGCUACCAUCUGGCAGGCGUUCGGUGAGACAGGGGGACGAGCAGGGGCCUGGCCCCCUAUCCAUCGACAAUUCCUUUGGCUGCUACGAGUAAUUAGCGCUGGAUCAAGGGAAUACAUGUUGUUUCCCCCUUAACUCGAGAGCAACCAGUUAACGAGCGCUCCUUCGGGAGCCUCGUAACGAUCAGCGCCACUUGGCGCGCUCUCAGCCAUUCGCCACGUGUCGCGCUCUGGGCGCUCCCUUCGGAUUUUUUUUUUCGCACGCGUUUUCGGCUUUUUUUCGGCUUUUUUCGAUGUUUUGGUUUUCCAGCGGUCUUCCUUAGCUUUUCAAUCAAAAAAAUUUGGAAAAAAAUUUGCGUGAAAAUACGCGUUUUCUUUUUCUUUUUCCUUUCGCGAGAGGCACGGUUUUGCUUCCGCGAGAGGCACGGUUUUGCUUUCGCGAGAGUCACGGCCGUGCCUCUCGGAAAGGGAAAAAAAUGUGUUUCCGUUUUUCUUUCGUUCGCGAGAGUCACGGUUUUGCUUCCGCGAGAGGCACGGAUGUGUUUUCGCGAGAGUCAUGGCCGUGCUUCUCGGAAAGAAAAAAAACGCGUUUUCUGUUUUUUUUCUUUCGCGAGAGUCACGUUUUUGCUUCGCGAGAGGCACGGUUGUGCUUUCGCGAGAGUCAUGGCCAUGCCUCUCGAAAAGGGAAAAAACGCGUUUUCUUUUUUUUUUCCUUUCAUGAGAGUCACGGUUUUGCUUCCGCAAAAGGCACGGUUGUGCUUUCACGAGAGUCACGGCCGUGCCUCCUCGGAAACGGAAAAAAUAUGCGUUUUCUCUUUUUUCCUUCCGCGAAAGUCACGGUUUUGCUUCCGCGAGAGGCACAGUUGUGAUUUCUUGAGAGGCACGGGUGCGCCUCUUUCGAAAAGGGAAAAAACCCGUGCUCCCGGUUCGGUUUUUCCGUCCUGUUUUUUUUCGUCCAGUUAAGUUCGUCAAAACCUAUCAAUAUGGGAUCUAGUUUUGAAGAUCUCGACGCGAGGAAUCCAAUGGUGAAAGCGGUUUGAGAUUUGGACGCACGGUUUGAGAGAUAAAUUAGGACUUCAUUUGAAAAUAGUUUUUCGAUGAAGUGCUUAGGCUAAAUAGCCUCAAUAUUAGGCAUGAUGAUCUAUGGAGAUAGAUUUACCUAAUGGGGCUAAGCAAUGAAUACAUAUUGACAAGAUGCUAAAACCUUUUAGCAUUUAAAACGCCAAGGAGUGAUUCUUGCCAAAGUCACAUGGAAAGAGUUUUUGCAAGACUCGGUGUCCCAAAACACUGAUGAGUAAAAUACAUGAUGCAGAUUCCACACACUUUUGUGUUUGGAUUAAUCAUGUAUUCCAUGGUAUGUAAAACAACCAGAUAUGUCCGAUACUCCCAAGGUGUUGCGAGUAUGGAUACCAAAGUGAUCAAAUUACUGAUCAUGGGACAACAGUGAAAGAUGUCACAGAGUACUAGAGUAAGUACUGAUGACAUGGUUUUCUCGCAAGCAGAGAUCAUGAAGAGUUCGUUGUAAAAUGUUACAUCGAUAGAGUCUUCAUCUUUUCUCCAUGCGAUUUUCGAUUUAAAUUAAGGGUUUUGUGUAACACACAAUGUGGUGGCAUAGUUAGUUGGAAUUUGUUCAAACUAGUUACUGUGGCGAAUUCUAUAACAAGGGCUAAGUAUGUUGACGCUUUAGAAGCGACAAAGAAGAUGUUGAAUCAUAUAGUUCAUUCAUGAACUUAGUAUAGUUCCAAGAUGGCUUUUGACAAUGGGACACUACUGCAGGUAGUUGCUCCAUAACUCAGUCUGAGGAAUCCAGGUUCGACCUGUGAUUCACAUACAUACAAAGCCAAGUCCACACAAAAUAUGAAUUUUGUGAAAACGAGAGGACAUGCAAAGAUACACACGGAACUGAAGUCGUUAGAUCCGUUGGACAUCAGGCUAUACCACAAGCGAAGCAUAUUUACACCGGUGUGCCACAGGUGUGAAGUGCAUUAGCAUAAGCUGGAUUAUUGACUCUAGUGCAAGUGGGAGUCUGUAGGAGAUAUGCCCUAGAGGCAAUAAUAAAUGAUAUUAUUUAUCUCCGAGUUCAUAAUUAUGUUUAUGUUCCAUGCUAUAACUGCAAUGAUUCUCGAGUCUGCAAUAUCCACGAGGCUCGGAGGAAGACUCAUAUGCACGUGUGGAAUAAUAAACGGUAAGAAGUAUUCCUAGUCUGGCCUCUAAGACUAGCUCAAGUGUUGCAUGAUGAUUCUGUUUUCCUGGUCAUGGGCAUGUCUAUGCCAGCAACUUUGAGGGCACAAUGUUAAGAGAACAUUUGUGUUGAAUCGACCCGGAUUGAUGUUAUGCUAUGAGAUUCAUUCGUCACAAGUUUAUUGGUACAUAACACAGAGAUGGUUAACGUUUGCAUGAUUCCUUAGACCAUGAGAGUAUCGAGUUUCUUCAUGCUUGCUUCAUGAACUUUGGGGUUUGUUAAACGUCAUCCGUAAAUGGGUGGCUAUUACGGCGGCUUACGGGUUCAUGGAAAAGUGUGUCAAGUAACUUGAUAGCUCAAGAUUGGGAUUUGCUCCUCCGACGAUGGAGAGAUAUCUCUGGGCCCUCUCGGUGUUACGGUAUCCAUCAUCGUCUGGCCAGACACUUUGUGAUUUGAUCAUGGGGAUGCCGGAACACGAUAACGAGAAAAGAGAACAAUACCAGUAACGAGGUAACUAGCAUAGUGGACAAGUUGUUGAUCCACGGGAAUGCCAACAUGUCUCACCUCGGGUAUUUGUAACAUAUCGCGAAGCAACAGGAAUAGCACACGACAACUGGAGGUUCACUCGAAUAUUUAUUCGUGUGGGUAUAGGGGUCAAUAUGGGUGUCCACGGCUUCGAUGUUGAUCAUUGAUCGGAAGGGGUUCCGAGUCAUGUCUAUACUUCACCGAACCUAUAGGGUCACACGCUUAAGGGUCAUCUAUCUGCUGAAUACUAGACAGGGAGUCUGAGAGAAAAUCACCGAAAAAGUUUCGGACACCGAAAAGUUUCGGACAGCGGAAUCGUACCGCAGAGAGAGGUCAUCGGAUAAGUUUCGAUGAUACCGAAAAGUUGUUUCGGGAUACACCAUUAAGUCAAAUUGGUUUCGGCACAUGCCUGAUAAUUCUUGGAGGAUGCCAGAAUCAUUCUGGAAGCUUUUUGGAAUUUUCUGAGAUAAAAACCGGAAAUGUUCCGGAGCUGCCGGAGCCACUUCAGAUGCGUUUCGCAGAUGAAAAUCACUAAAACCGGAAUUGUUUCGGAACACGUUGAAAAUCAUUUUAGUGGGUACUGGAAAUGUUCUUAGCCCACAUAAAUAUUUUCAGUUCGAUCAGACGCUGAAAAAUGUCGUCGUGAAUAGUGAAAAUCAGCUUUAUGGUUACUUUAUGGAAAGCCACCUUUUGGGGCUUUGCUCCAAAAGAUCUUGGGGAUGACAUGGGUGGAUAGGAGCCAUUUUUUGGGCCCCUCAUGGGGGUGUGGCCGGCCACAUGGGGUAUCCCCCCUUGGGGACCCUCUUGUUCCUUGGUUUCACUCCUAGGUCCUUGUGGAAGGACUUCAUUCAUGUGCAUUUUGGGUUUUUUGUGAAACUACCCUACCCCCUUGGGAUUUCCUAUAAAUAGAGGUGGAGGGGCAGCCCUCCACACUCAUCCCUUGCUCUCAUACACAUGCCAUGCAUUAUCUGGCUUCUUCUCUCCCUCCCACGAAAAGAGUUUCGUAGAGCCGUAAGGCUGUCUGGGUUCCGGCAGGAACUAGUUCUGGACGGCGAAGCCCUGCCGGAUAGAUGACACCGUAUGUGUGCAACUCUGUAGAGAGAUCGUAGUUUCGGUCUUAGUUCGUGAGUGCCUCCCGAAGGGCUGUACGUGUGACCGUCCGAGUUUCGAAGGUCCUCCCGAAGGNNNNNNNNNNAUGAGGGUAUACAUCCUCGCGGUUGGGAGGUUGUAAAUCCUAGCUGCGGGGAUCUGCACCGCCGAUCGUCAUCGACUCUACUUCCCGCUGCGCUACGAGUCGGUAACAAAAAAGAUCAAACCAUGUAUGCAGUCUCCAUAGUGGUCCUGGGCUGGUGCGUUGGUCGGAAAUUUUUUGUUUUCUGCUGCGUUACCCUACAGUGGCAUCAAGAGCCGUGCUAUGCGUAGAUGCAGGUUUCGAUCUAGAAUACAUGGAGAUGUAUGGGUAUUGCAUAAUAUAAUUAGGUAGUAGAUGAGAUCUAUUGCUGAAAAUUAUUUAUGUGGGUGACAGAUGAAAUCUGUUACCCGAGGUUCUUGUUGCUUCCCUAGAAUUUGCGUUUGCUCAAUCUCGAGACAGCAUGGUGGAAUUUGACAAAGUUCUGGCAAUCCGUGAUCCUGAUUGAUCAUGGAAGUGCUAUCAGUUCUUUGGGUUCUGCCGUAGUCAAAAGAAAGAUGAAAUUCGCAGAUGAAAGGGCAUUGCAGAUAUGAUCUGCACGGGGGUCAUGCGUAUGACGAAGUUUAGUAUGGGGCUCGAGAUUUGAUUAUCCCGUGUUUCAUAUACCCCGAGAUGUUAAUCUAGCAACCUGAAUAAUCAUACUUGAUGAUAAAAUGUUGGUAGCUGCGGUUUAAGUCAAAACCUUAGAAGCCACGUAAAAUAAAUUUUGCAUAAACCGAUUAGAGGCGUCUAAUUUGGUUUUGCAGGAUGUGCAUGUGAUGUGGUAUAGCAGUGCUCAUACUAAUUCGAUUAUGUAUGAGAUGACUAUAUGAUGUAAUUUGAUUAACAUGACCUGCGUGUCAUGAUUGGGCAUGAUGGCUGGAGCCAUAUGAUUGCACUUUAAUGACCUGCGUGUCAACCUUGUUGUAAUGCCUUAUUUUAUUAGCUAUAGAGAUAGCAAUAUUAUCUGGUGCAUCAACAGGGUGGUGGCAAUCUUCGUGAAGGUGAACACCGACGCGAAUGCCGAAGACGAAGAAAUGAAAUACUUCUCCGUCAGGAAGGGCUAUACCAUAUCAUGCUAUUAUGAAUUUCCUGAGAUGUUUAUCCCUUAUGAUACACCCUUCUUGAUUGCGCGGUAGUCGCUUUUUAUUAGGGUGAUCUCUCACUUAAAAUAUCAAAGUAGUUAGUGUUCACCCAAGUGUAGCACCGUCUGAAAUUCGUAUCUUUUCGGGGUGCGCCAUGUACACAUGGGCACGAACGAAUCGAGAGGAAUGAGGCGGGUGAGGUCAGACCUCGCAGCAGGAUCACUUGGUUGUCUUUGACGUUCAGGCAGGAGAGUCCUGAGCUCGGAACACGCCCAUCGAAAGAUGAACAAGAAUCACAUAGAGAUGUGAUCGGCAAGUUGGCCUACCAAUUGAAAUUCGUGUCAUCAGUGAUGAACCCGUCAAUGGCAUCGAAUAGAAAUAUGGAUCUUGAAUCACUCUAAAUCAAUUAUGAGAGAUAUUGAUUUGAGUGGGAGCGCACUAUUGAAUUAACAUGUUUAAUUCUCAGUGCAAUUAAUUAUGAACAAUGUCUAAGUGUUUCUUGCAAAAUAGUUGUAGAAUAAUGGCUCGCGUUUUCACCUUCCCUGCUAAAAUUGAAUAGCUGUUAAAUAUCUGGUUAAAACUUUACGUUUGGUAACGUAAUGUGAGGAUUGUCCUCAAAAGUGCCGAGAAGGACUUUGUCCUAUCGCAUGCUUUCCGUAUCCUCCCGCUAAUGCUAUGGAUCAUGUGACUCUCGUCCUUCGAUCCAAAAGCUAGAAUUAUGUUACGGUCAAGUGGAAUAUGUUUGCUUCCAUGAGACCCAAACUUCGAAAGUUGGGAUAGUUAUAUGAUAUUCAUGGAACUGAAAAUUAUUUUCAGAUACAAACAAAGCAAUGUUUGUUUGCAAGUAUUAGUAAAAGUGUUUACUAUGCAUUUGACUGUUGGGAAAGGGAUCCAGAAAAAUGCCUGUCAUAUAAUGAAAGGUGAAUAAAACAACAACUUAAAGAGAAAGGAAGUGUCCAAAGGGUGUUAGUAUGACUUACACGCCUAGGAAGUCCGGGGCUAAUGCCACUCUUAAGUUGGGUGCUUCUUCUGAGAGUAGGAGAAAUACUAAAAGUUAAACUGCUAGAAGUAUAAAGGCAAAAGGAAAGAAGACUGGAAUAUCCAGCUCAUGUAUGAAUGUCAUACUAGUUUUUGAUGUAUAGAAGGCUGGUCAAAGAUAUAGUUCUUGCGAAUUAUGGUUAAACAUGUUAAUCACUAAUUCUUGGGUAUUGUGAGUUCAUCACAAAAAUGCCCGCUCGAUUGCAUUCUGUUGCAACUCGAUGUAAGAACUACUAUGGCCUGAAAGACUAGCUAGAAAUGAGGUUAAGGUAUACACAGGGAACAUAGUAAAUGUUACUAUACCUUCCAUCGGUGUAUUGCCGUCUGUAUUUAUUUUCAUAAUUCAUUUAGAGUUUUACAAACUCUAUCCCAUUGCAUAAGGCAUCUUGCAAGAAGGUUGUUCAUAAGAGAAAUUUUUAUGUUCGAUGUUAUGAAUAACACAAGGGCCAUACUUUCAUUAUGAAUGAGAUGUAUGUUAUGAAUAUUGAUAAUAAUACAAUACCUCUGGGUUUACUUUCAUAAUUCAUUUUAGAGUUUCAUACACUCUAGCCCAUUGCACAAUGUUUGUUGCAAAAGAGUUGUUCAUAAAAACAACAAUUGUUGUUAAGUAUUAUGAAUAACAUAAGGGCCAUACUUCCAUCAUCGAUGGGACGUAUGUUAUGAAUAUUGAGGGUAAUAUGAUACAUCCAUAACACUGACGCUAAAUGUCGCAAGACUAAAAGAAUACCACACAAGUGUGGCACUACAUUUGGUCACAUUGGAGAAACCCGCAUGGAAAAUUCCAUUAUGAUGGAUUUUGAAGUCUUUUUGAUUUUGAAUCAUCUGACACUUGCAACUUUCCUCCGAAAAGUGAAGUGACUAAAAUACCGUUCACAGGCCAUAAGGAACGAACAACAAACUUAUUAGUGAUCAUACAUUUGAUGUGUAUAGUCCGAUAAGUGUUGUUAGUGGUGGAUUUAUUUAUCUUCAGAAAUGACUCAAGUAGAUAUAUGGAUAUUUACUUGAUGAGACGGAAGUCUGGAUCUUUUGAAAUCAUUCGAAAGGUUCUCAAAAAUGAAGUAGAAGUUAUUGUAACAAGAAAAUUAUGUUUCUGCAAUUUGAUUGCACAAAGGAAUAUUUGACUUACAUGUUUAGCGAAUGUCUGAUGAGUUGUGAAAGGGGUUUCAUAAACUUGCACCUCCCGGAACACCACUGCAAGUGGAAAGUCCGUGGAGAUGUAAUCAAACCAUUUAUGACAUGGUAAGGUCAAAGAUGACAUAAAUAAAUUUUCCAUUAUCCCUUUUAAAGUGAUGCUUUAGAGACUGCGGCUUUUACACUGAAAAGAGCUACAUCGGGUCUGUUGAAAUGAAGCCAUGGUAUGGUACGCCCAACCAUGUUAUAUCUUUUCUUAACAUUUGGAAUAUGGGGCUUGUGUAAAAGGUUACAAACCUAUUCCAAAUCAGACAAGUGCUACUUUGUAGGUUAUACCAAAAUGUUGGGUAUUCCUCCCUCACUAUACCGAGGCAAAUAGUUUUGCCGCGAAACGGUGUGCUUUUAAAGAGAAUGGUUCUUUCUAAAAGGUGAGUGGGAGAAUAGUGCAACUCGACGAGAUAAACAGUAUCUUCAUCAGAUCAAAGGAAAGAGACCUUGGAAGAAAUUCCAGAGUUUCCUACUCCGACUGAUACAGAAGUCUCUACAAUAAAAUGUAUGAACUUCGGUCGAACUUGCAGCUGAACCACGUAGGCAAGGCUCGUGCAAACCUCUCAGGUGCGCAAACGAGAUAUUGUUGUUAGACAACAUUAUACCUACGAUACACAAGGAAGCGUUGAUGGGCCCUGACUCCGGAAUUGGCUAAAUGCCAAUACAACCCGACUUAGUUUCCAUAUAAGUGAUUCAAGAUUAAAACCUUGAUACACCUUUCGGAAGACUUAGAGUCUAACGAAUAUUUAUGGAACUUAAAACUGAUACGGAUAAAAUGUUUUAUCCAUAAAGCUCGACUUGUUGAAAUAAUACGAUGAGGUUGUUUUCAUCGUACCGAUGCUUAAAGUCGGUUCGGGUUGAACUAGCAAUUAAUACAUAUUUCAAUCAUGAGAUAUGAAACAUGGAUGAUAAAAGGAUUUCCAUCUGAUGGAAAUGAAAGCUAGGACUUGUAUAUGAUACAGUCCAAAGUAAUUUGUCGAUCCAGAGGAUGCUAGUAGGUAUGCAAACUUCAGAGUUCCAGCAAUGGACAGAAGAGAGCAAAAUGGAGUUGGAAUCUUCGUGUUUUGAUGAAAUGGUCAAAGGGGUUUUGACUUCAUCAAUGGGUAACGAAGAUGCUUGUAAUUCAAGAAAGUAAGUGGGAGCGUAAUAAUAUUUCUAAAAACCUUAUGUGCUUGGCACAUUGGUAAUUGGAAAUAAAUUUCUUGACACAAAUUAGGACUUCAUUUGAAAAUAGUUUUUCGAUGAAGUGCUUAGGCUAAAUAGCCUCAAUAUUAGGCAUGAUGAUCUAUGGAGAUAGAUUUACCUAAUGGGGCUAAGCAAUGAAUACAUAUUUACAAGAUGCUAAAACCUUUUAGCAUUUAAAACGCCAAGGAGUGAUUCUUGCCAAAGUCACAUGGAAAGAGUUUUUGCAAGACUCGGUGUCCCAAAACACUGAUGAGUAAAAUACAUGAUGCAGAUUCCACACACUUUUGUGUUUGGAUUAAUCAUGUAUUCCAUGGUAUGUAAAACAACCAGAUAUGUCCGAUACUCCCAAGGUGUUGCGAGUAUGGAUACCAAAGUGAUCAAAUUACUGAUCAUGGGACAACAGUGAAAGAUGUCACAGAGUACUAGAGUAAGUACUGAUGACAUGGUUUUCUCGCAAGCAGAGAUCAUGAAGAGUUCGUUGUAAAAUGUUACAUCGAUAGAGUCUUCAUCUUUUCUCCAUGCGAUUUUCGAUUUAAAUUAAGGGUUUUGUGUAACACACAAUGUGGUGGCAUAGUUAGUUGGAAUUUGUUCAAACUAGUUACUGUGGCGAAUUCUAUAACAAGGGCUAAGUAUGUUGACGCUUUAGAAGCGACAAAGAAGAUGUUGAAUCAUAUAGUUCAUUCAUGAACUUAGUAUAGUUCCAAGAUGGCUUUUGACAAUGGGACACUACUACAGGUAGUUGCUCCAUAACUCAGUCUGAGGAAUCCAGGUUCGACCUGUGAUUCACAUACAUACAAAGCCAAGUCCACACAAAAUAUGAAUUUUGUGAAAACGAGAGGACAUGCAAAGAUACACACGGAACUGAAGUCGUUAGAUCCGUUGGACAUCAGGCUAUACCACAAGCGAAGCAUAUUUACACCGGUGUGCCACAGGUGUGAAGUGCAUUAGCAUAAGCUGGAUUAUUGACUCUAGUGCAAGUGGGAGUCUGUAGGAGAUAUGCCCUAGAGGCAAUAAUAAAUGAUAUUAUUUAUCUCCGAGUUCAUAAUUAUGUUUAUGUUCCAUGCUAUAACUGCAAUGAUUCUCGAGUCUGCAAUAUCCACGAGGCUCGGAGGAAGACUCAUAUGCACGUGUGGAAUAAUAAACGGUAAGAAGUAUUCCUAGUCUGGCCUCUAAGACUAGCUCAAGUGUUGCAUGAUGAUUCUGUUUUCCUGGUCAUGGGCAUGUCUAUGCCAGCAACUUUGAGGGCACAAUGUUAAGAGAACAUUUGUGUUGAAUCGACCCGGAUUGAUGUUAUGCUAUGAGAUUCAUUCGUCACAAGUUUAUUGGUACAUAACACAGAGAUGGUUAACGUUUGCAUGAUUCCUUAGACCAUGAGAGUAUCGAGUUUCUUCAUGCUUGCUUCAUGAACUUUGGGGUUUGUUAAACGUCAUCCGUAAAUGGGUGGCUAUUACGGCGGCUUACGGGUUCAUGGAAAAGUGUGUCAAGUAACUUGAUAGCUCAAGAUUGGGAUUUGCUCCUCCGACGAUGGAGAGAUAUCUCUGGGCCCUCUCGGUGUUACGGUAUCCAUCAUCGUCUGGCCAGACACUUUGUGAUUUGAUCAUGGGGAUGCCGGAACACGAUAGCGAGAAAAGAGAACAAUACCAGUAACGAGGUAACUAGCAUAGUGGACAAGUUGUUGAUCCACGGGAAUGCCAACAUGUCUCACCUCGGGUAUUUGUAACAUAUCGCGAAGCAACAGGAAUAGCACACGACAACUGGAGGUUCACUCGAAUAUUUAUUCGUGUGGGUAUAGGGGUCAAUAUGGGUGUCCACGGCUUCGAUGUUGAUCAUUGAUCGGAAGGGGUUCCGAGUCAUGUCUAUACUUCACCGAACCUAUAGGGUCACACGCUUAAGGGUCAUCUAUCUGCUGAAUACUAGACAGGGAGUCUGAGAGAAAAUCACCGAAAAAGUUUCGGACACCGAAAAGUUUCGGACAGCGGAAUCGUACCGCAGAGAGAGGUCAUCGGAUAAGUUUCGAUGAUACCGAAAAGUUGUUUCGGGAUACACCAUUAAGUCAAAUUGGUUUCGGCACAUGCCUGAUAAUUCUUGGAGGAUGCCAGAAUCAUUCUGGAAGCUUUUUGGAAUUUUCCGAGAUAAAAACCGGAAAUGUUCCGGAGCUGCCGGAGCCACUUCAGAUGCGUUUCGCAGAUGAAAAUCACUAAAACCAGAAUUGUUUCGGAACGCGUUGAAAAUCAUUUUAGUGGGUACUGGAAAUGUUCUUAGCCCACAUAAAUAUUUUCAGUUCGAUCAAACGCUGAAAAAUGUCGUCGUGAAUAGUGAAAAUCAGCUUUAUGGUUACUUUAUGGAAAGCCACCUUUUGGGGCUUUGCUCCAAAAGAUCAUGGGGAUGACAUGGAUGGAUAGGAGCCAUUUUUUGGGCCCCUCAUGGGGGUGUGGCCGGCCACAUGGGGUAUCCCCCCUUGGGGACCCUCUUGUUCCUUGGUUUCACUCCUAGGUCCUUGUGGAAGGACUUCAUUCAUGUGCAUUUUGGGUUUUUUGUGAAACUACCCUACCCCCUUGGGAUUUCCUAUAAAUAGAGGUGGAGGGGCAGCCCUCCACACUCAUCCCUUGCUCUCAUACACAUGCCAUGCAUUAUCUGGCUUCUUCUCUCCCUCCCACGAAAAGAGUUUCGUAGAGCCGUAAGGCUGUCUGGGUUCCGGCAGGAACUAGUUCUGGACGGCGAAGCCCUGCCGGAUAGAUGACACCGUAUGUGUGCAACUCUGUAGAGAGAUCGUAGUUUCGGUCUUAGUUCGUGAGUGCCUCCCGAAGGGNNNNNNNNNNNNNNNNNNNNNNNNNNNNNNNNNNNNNNNNNNNNNNNNNNNNNNNNNNNNNNNNNNNNNNNNNNNNNNNNNNNNNNNNNNNNNNNNNNNNNNNNNNNNNNNNNNNNNNNNNNNNNNNNNNNNNNNNNNNNNNNNNNNNNNNNNNNNNNNNNNNNNNNNNNNNNNNNNNNNNNNNNNNNNNNNNNNNNNNNNNNNNNNNNNNNNNNNNNNNNNNNNNNNNNNNNNNNNNNNNNNNNNNNNNNNNNNNNNNNNNNNNNNNNNNNNNNNNNNNNNNNNNNNNNNNNNNNNNNNNNNNNNNNNNNNNNNNNNNNNNNNNNNNNNNNNNNNNNNNNNNNNNNNNNNNNNNNNNNNNNNNNNNNNNNNNNNNNNNNNNNNNNNNNNNNNNNNNNNNNNNNNNNNNNNNNNNNNNNNNNNNNNNNNNNNNNNNNNNNNNNNNNNNNNNNNNNNNNNNNNNNNNNNNNNNNNNNNNNNNNNNNNNNNNNNNNNNNNNNNNNNNNNNNNNNNNNNNNNNNNNNNNNNNNNNNNNNNNNNNNNNNNNNNNNNNNNNNNNNNNNNNNNNNNNNNNNNNNNNNNNNNNNNNNNNNNNNNNNNNNNNNNNNNNNNNNNNNNNNNNNNNNNNNNNNNNNNNNNNNNNNNNNNNNNNNNNNNNNNNNNNNNNNNNNNNNNNNNNNNNNNNNNNNNNNNNNNNNNNNNNNNNNNNNNNNNNNNNNNNNNNNNNNNNNNNNNNNNNNNNNNNNNNNNNNNNNNNNNNNNNNNNNNNNNNNNNNNNNNNNNNNNNNNNNNNNNNNNNNNNNNNNNNNNNNNNNNNNNNNNNNNNNNNNNNNNNNNNNNNNNNNNNNNNNNNNNNNNNNNNNNNNNNNNNNNNNNNNNNNNNNNNNNNNNNNNNNNNNNNNNNNNNNNNNNNNNNNNNNNNNNNNNNNNNNNNNNNNNNNNNNNNNNNNNNNNNNNNNNNNNNNNNNNNNNNNNNNNNNNNNNNNNNNNNNNNNNNNNNNNNNNNNNNNNNNNNNNNNNNNNNNNNNNNNNNNNNNNNNNNNNNNNNNNNNNNNNNNNNNNNNNNNNNNNNNNNNNNNNNNNNNNNNNNNNNNNNNNNNNNNNNNNNNNNNNNNNNNNNNNNNNNNNNNNNNNNNNNNNNNNNNNNNNNNNNNNNNNNNNNNNNNNNNNNNNNNNNNNNNNNNNNNNNNNNNNNNNNNNNNNNNNNNNNNNNNNNNNNNNNGGAGGGCUGUCUGAGGAGCAGAUGAGGGUAUACAUCCUCGCGGUUGGGAGGUUGUAAAUCCUAGCUGCGGGGAUCUGCACCGCCGAUCGUCAUCGACUCUACUUCCCGCUGCGCUACGAGUCGGUAACGAAAAAGAUCAAACCAUGUAUGCAGUCUCCAUAGUGGUCCUGGGCUGGUGCGUUGGUCGGAAAUUUUUUGUUUUCUGCUGCGUUACCCUACAAAGUGGAGGGUCCAAAAUGGGAGGAAACGACGCAAAGUCGACGGUAACUGGUAGUGACGACUUGUGGGGAAAUGCACCUAUUUUUUAAAAAUCGCUAAUGGCCCAAACCGAAAUAUGGAAGUUUAAGUGGCAGGACUCGGAUAUGCAAUUUUGGUAGUCGCACAGACCAAUUCUUCCCCAAAAUAUAAUAUGAAAACUUUUUUAUGAUAGGUUUGAGGAUAUUGAUCAGUAUCGUAUAUGUUAAUAUUUCUUUCUUAUAAACUAGAUCAAAGUGUAAUCAAACAAAACAAAUAUGCACUCUAUUUUGAAAGGAGGGGAGUAGGCCCUAUCUAUAAGACAUCAUGACCGUGGCUAUUCAUGAUUUCUUGGAACUAGUACUAAUGACAUUUUAUUGGACUAGGUAAUUGCCCGUGCAUUGCAACAGGGCCGAUCUACUGUGAUGGUUCAUGCACAUCAUGGCAUUUUUUGCUUAUAGUACCGCAGGAUCACUCUUCUUCCUCAAUCUCUCACUCACCCACUGCGCUCUCUCUCUCUCUCUCUCUCUCUCUCUCUCUCUCUUCUUCCACCUUGUCUGAAUAUUAGAUAGGAAUACUUGCCUAGAAACCAUAUGUCGGACUUGGAGCCAAAUGGAAUGUUAGCAAGAAGUUCAGGGCAUAUGUAACUGGGAGUUCCUACAACCUUCAAAAGAGACACGGUAUAUCAAAUCAUAAGCAACUUAGAAAGAGAAAGACCUACAUAUGUAGGGCUUGAGCAAGAACAACUUACUGACGAAGCUAAAUCAUCAGAAGUCAAUACUUUUGCCAAAAUCACCUAUGUCACACAACAUAUAUUCGGAACACAAAAUUUGUUGUCAGUUCAUACAAGUAUUCACAGUGCAGUUAUUCCAAGAUUUUUUUUUUUCGUGAGAGCAUACUUACCGAGCCAUAUAUUCUGGUCCUUUGUAAGAAAAAAAAUACAAAGCAUGGUGAGUAACCUGCUAGGAUUAACUGAACUGUGAUUAUCACAUAAAGUCACUACUAUUAUAAGAAGUUGUCCCAGGCCCCCGCGUCGCCCACCUCCCAGGGUGACUCGGGCGACAGCGAGAUCUACUCCGCCAGGUCCCUCUCGCACCUUCUCUCCCCCCUCGCCGCCGCCCUAUGGACUCGGCCUGGCUAAGCCCGUGCAGAUCCGGCGGCGAUGGGGCCCCUGGCACCCUGGUGUGGCUUGUCCUCGGGCGGGAGGCUCGAGCGAUGGAUGGACGGCGCAGCGCUCCACCGCCUGCGUCGCUAGGCCCGGUGGUGGUGGAGGACGGCGGUGGUCACGGCAGUGCGCCCAUGUCACCGCAACCCUCUUCUUCAGGAAUGGGAUCCUGCUCAGAUCCAUGGAGGCAUGGUGGUCGCAGCGCGGGCGCACGCGCGCGGAUGGCGUCCAGUCUGGCAGCAGGAUCAACCAUGAUGGUGGCGGCGGCUACCUCCGGCGGUCGGGUGUCCUUCACGUUGAUUUUGUCCGGUAAGCGGCUUAGCGGCGCCUCCGGCCAGAUCCGAUCUGGCCGGUGCUGCCAGCGGUGGUGUCCAUCUCCUCCGUCGGAGGUGGUCGGCCUGAGGCUGGAUGAUCAGAUCUCGUGAUCUGUCAUCUAGUUCCGGCUGCGAGUCGGGAUGACAUAGUUGCCAAUGAAAACCGAGCCGAUGGCAGACGAUGACGGCGCUAUACGCCGUUACCUUGAUGAACGCAUCAUCAUGCAACGAUUGUCGACCAACUCGUGCUGCUCCGAGGGAAACCCUAGGACCUGGUCUUCCAGAUCGGACGAUGGUGGUACUGCGGUGUCGUUUCUCUCUUGGGAGCAUCGUUUGUGAAGCAGCGCUGGAAGACAGAGGCAGGAGAUGGAGCGGCUUCGUCUUGCACGGAGCUUCGGUGGAGAUGUCAAGUCAUGCCUGGCCGACAGGUGCUACGCUGUGUCAUGCCUGGUCGGCAGGUGCUACGCACGACAGAUCUUCCAGAAUCUUCGCGUCUGGAUGGACGAGCGCGGGGUGGUGGCGCCGUUGUGUGCCGUGGUGGCGUCGACGGAUGGACGGACUGACAAGGAUGAUGUGGAUCUCUCUCUUGAAGAUGGGUCAGCAGUCCGAUGAUGAUGGCGGGUGUCUAAAAGAUGUGUAUGUGUGGUGUACACUGCUGCACCGGCUGUUCGUUCCGAUGCGUUAUGUGGAUGAAUCGGCGACGACAUCGGUUUAGAUAUGGGGAGUGAGAGCACUCCACAUAAUCAAGUUUUGUAGGUGAGAGUGGUGGCUUCGGGUGGUUUGAUGUACGUUCUUGUUAGACCUUGAUGAAAUAAUAAAUAAAGAUGGCCGCAUGCAUCGCUUGAUGCAGAGGCCCGGGGUUUAAACCUCCUUUUUCAAAAAAAAAACAUUAUCAGAAGUUGAGCAACUAAAAAUGCAUGGACAGACUCGCUUACUUUAUUGCCUGAUCAGGGCGGCUUGGGAAGGCCGGCGGCUCCACAACGUGUGGGCAUUAUGAGAAGAGUUGUGAUGUUGCUCCUCGUCACUGGUUAAAAGGGUGCUUGAUACGUUUUAGUGCUAUGACUAAAAUUAGUGGGACUAAAACUUGCUAGCCUCAUCCAUGCUUGGAUCCAAAUACUAAAGAGACUAAAAUCAAGUUAAUGAGCAUUUAUUAUCCUCCAAAGCCUCCAAUCCAGAACUCGGCUGUGUUAAAGGAGAGGAGUUAAAUGAGGAGAGAGAGGACUAAUCCACAUUUUAGUAGGGGUACCCCUGACUAAAAAAAUUUAGUCUCAAGACUAGUUUUAGUCUCUCUUUAGUCAGGGGUGCUUAGAACUUUAUCCUCUUAAAAGAUUAUUUUUAAUCAGACUAAAAUAAGUCCCUUGAAUCCAAGCACCCUCUAAUUGUCCAAUGCUACUGCCACACCAUUUUGCAAACACGGCAAUGAAAAGGUCAAACCAUAACUCCACGCUUACCUUAGAAGGCAGAUCAAAAAUUAAAAUUGAGUCAGUGAUUAGAAUCCUGCAGCCUCGCGUGGUUGUUCAUUGACACAACAGAUAGAGCUACUACUAUGAUGAGAAUCAAUCUAAUAGAUACGUGUCCCUGGAAAGAGUAUGAACUUUGGACUCCCAAUUGUCGUCGGACGAGCACAGGCGGGCGCACAUGUCUUUUCGGCCAGGCCCAGGCGUCUCCUCCUAGCACCAAUGUUGCAGACCUGUCUCAAACCUGAACCAUAGAUUGAUGCAACCGUGAUGGUGGUCAUCACAUUUUAGAUUGAUGCAGCAGUGUCAGGCUCAACGUAGCGGCAUGUACUGUGGAGUGUGGAGUGUGGAGUGUGCCGUCUAUGACUGCCAACACAGGUCGGCUAGGCGAGAGAGGAAGGAGGAGGAAGACCGGCGAUGAUAAUUACGGAGAGUCAGAAGCAGUGGCAUGGGUGAGAGGAUGGUCGGUGGUGCGUUGCAAAGAGGCAUCAAGGCCGGUGGCGGCAUAUGAGUGGCUGGAGGCGGUCGUGCAUGAGAGCACGGGGGCGUACAGGGAGGCGCCGAUGGUCGGGUUUGGCUAGCGCCGACGCUAAACCUGGAAUUUCCUAUUCGACUCUCUCUGCGUCGAAAUGUCGAGGUAACGCACACAGCGACGAUACUAACCGAACGACUGGGCCGGCCCAUCUAUAUAUCUUUCCCUAAUCUUUCUUUCCCUAUAAUAUAAUUAUAAUUAUAAUUAUAAUUUAUAUAAUAAAGCACGGAUUGACUCCGUGGGUUCAUCUUCACAAUACGCUUUCUUCUCGUGUCAUAAUACGCUUUUACGAUUUGUAUAGACAAAAUCGUAAUAUAAACGAGGUGGUACUAAAACGCUUGCGAAAAAGUCAUUAUUUUUUUGAUGGUACUAUUUUUCUGCCCACCUCACGAUUGUUUUUUUUAAUAGUUUGAAUUGCUUACCACAUGUGUCACGUGGUGCCCACCUCACGGUUGUUCACGCAGUCGGGCAACUCAUCCAGCAAGUUAUAUGCCAAAUUCAGUUCUUUUUUCUAACUAAGCCUGGCCCACGAGGCCACGUCCAGUUGAAGCUAGACGGACGAUGAAUUGGAGAUGGGAAAGUGUUAAAAUCAGCCGGAUGAUCUAUCCCAAGCGUAAGCCGCGUCUAACGUUUGACACGUGUCCAGGUGGGCCUCGCGCAUCACAGCUUCCACCCUUCGUGCUUAUCCCAAUUCUCAACCGAGAAGCACUCACCACACAUCUAUUCUCUCCCCGUACACCACGCGUUGACUGCAAACCACUCACAAACUGUCUAUUGAAUCUCGCCGGCUCUACAAGGCCCUGGAUGCGCCGCUCGCGGCAGCGCUAACCGGCGCUACAACCGGAGAAUCUCGCCGGGGGGAGUGCUGCAACCAGCCGUUGCAGCCACCAUGGGUCUGCUGCAAUCCUGUCUCAAAUCGACGGCUAAUGUCGCCGAAGUUGCAAUCGCACAGCUCGUCGGUGUUGCAGCCGUGGCCGGCGCCAACGGAGGAAACGGCCGCAUCGUCGGGACCGUCAGCCAUGGUUGGUGUUGCCGAGCGUGUUGAUGCAGCGCCGCCGGUGUUGCGGAGAGGAGCGCUGCAACCCGUGGAUCUCGUCAGCGGCGGUGGAUGGUUCCGUGGAGCGCGCGUGUCGCGUCCUCGUAGCUCUCGGUGGGCGACGGAGCUGCAGUGCAACUCGCCGGUGGGCGGGAGGUAGCUUUAGUGCAACAUGCAUCGUGCUGCCCGCCGGUGGCGGAGCUCAGUGCAGCGGGCGUGGCGCUGCAUGCCGGCCGGUGGAGCUGCACACUAGUACAAAACAGGGCUUUCGUCACAGGGCAAUAUUCACAUUAGUCCCGGUUCAGUCACGAACCGGGACUAAUGUGAGCAUUGGUCCCGGUUCGUGCGGCUAAGGCAUUAGGGCCGGUUCACCUGGGCCCUUUAGUCCCGGUUGGUGCCACGAACCGGGACUAAAGGGUGCGAUGCCCAUUAGUACCGGUUGGUGGCACCAACCGGGACCAAAUGUUAGUCCUUUAGUCCCGGUUGGUGCCACCAACCGGGACCAAAGGACAUGUGCUGCCCGCGUCGCGGCCAAAGUUUAGUCCCACCUCGCUAGUUGAGAGAGCUCGAGAGUGGUUUAUAAGCGCUGCUGCGCCCAUCCUCUCGAGCUCCUCUCAAUUGCAGGCUUUCGGGCCUAACCGUACACUGUGUGCCUGUGGGCCUACUGGGCCACCUGCGGGCCUGAAUCCUGGCCCAUGGUUGGGUUUCUAGUCGUAUUCAGGCCGUGGUGGCCCAGUAGAUGGCACUUUUUUUUCUUUGUUGCUUUAUUUAUUUUAUUUUGUUUCUACUUACAACAAAAUACUUACUGUUGCUAUUUUUAUUUAUUUUAUUAAAUUUUAUUUUUUAAUUCUUUUUGCUUUUAGGUCACAAAAAUUAUAAACUUUCUGUUAGUGCCAUUAGUUUUCAAAUUUGAAUUCUUUGAUUUUGUUAUUAUUGUGUUUUAUGAUUCUAUUCAAAAACAGAUUUUGUUAUUUUAGUUUCUAACAAAAAAAUCUUUAUGAUAAUGCUUUUUGCUAUUAAAUUUCUAACAAAAACAUUCUUUAUGAAAAUUCUUUUCGCUAUUAAAGGGCCCAUCAAACUCUACCCCCCCUCCCGUGGACCGCCUUUUCAGUUUUAGAAAAAACAAAAGAAAAUGAUGGAAAUGUCAAAAAAAUAAAAUAACAUAAGUUUCCCAUGUGAUAUGUGGUCUAGUUGUUGGGAAAAUUAACAAAUAUGAAUUUCGACUUUAUUUGCAAAAUCUCUCUGGAAUUUCUUAAAAUGGGCAUAACUUUUGCAUACGAACUCGGAUUAAAAAGUUUUUUAUAUGAAAAAUCAUCUACUCGAAAAGUUACAUCCGAAUUUAGCCCGGGGAACCCCGUUAAACAUUUUCAAAAUCCUCAAAAACCUAACAGAAAAAAGAUACGGGGCUUUUAAGAUCUAGAGAGGCAAAAAAAUUCAAAAAAUUUCAAAUUGUGGUCAAACUGUGGUCAAACAAUGGUCAAACUAAUUAUUCUAGAAUAUUAGUGUUACUAAAUAAUUAUUUCAGUUUUUUUGAAUUUUGGUCAAAUCUGGUCAAACAGUGGUCAAACAAUGGUCAAACUAAUUAUUCCAGAAAUAUUAGUGUUACUAAAUAAUUAUUGUUUUUUAAAACAAUAGUUUCAAACUCAAACAGUGAAAUGUGUCACUUCAUGCUCAAGCUAAAUUCCUGAGGGUUAAUAGAAUUGACAUCUUACUAUUGUCAGGAAAACAACAAGUGCAGACUUGGAAACGAGGGAGAAUAGAACCCGGAAGUUAAGCAUGCUCAGGCUGGAGUAGUGAGAGGAUGGGUGACCGUCCGGGAAGUUAGAUGAUUUGGAAUGACGAGGGGUGAUUAGAGAUUAGAGGAUAAAUUGAGCAGUGAUGAGGGGUGAUGAUUAGAGAUUAGAGGUUAAAAUAAUUCAGAAAUUUGAAAAUAAAAAAAAUUUCAAAAAAUUCGCAAAAAAAAUUUUCAAAAAAAAAAACAUAAAAUUUCCUUUAGUCCCGGUUGGUGUUGGUAACACCAACCGGGACUAAAGGUGGAGCUCCAGGCUGCGUCCAUGUGGACGGCCUUUAGUCCCGGUUCGUGUAAGAACCGGGACUAAAGGGGGGAGGCAUUAGUAACGAGCCUUUAGUCCCGGUUCAAAAACCGGGACUAAAGGCCCUUACCAACCGGGACAAAAGCCCCCUUUUCUACUAGUGGCAGUGCAACAUGCCGGUGGACGUCGGAACUGCAGUGCAACGGGCUGCCGCCGGGGCUGCAAUGGAGCUCGGUCGGAGUUUCAACGGAGCUUCGCCGGAGUCGUCGGAGCUCCGCCGGGGCCGCAAUGGAGCUCGGCCGGAGUUGUAAUGGAGCUUCGCCGGAGCGUCGAUGUUGCGUUGGAGCUCCGUCGGUGCUGCUAUGGAGCUCGGCCGGAGUUGCAAUGGAGCUUCGCCGGAGUGUCGAUGCUGCGUUGGAGCUCGUUCCGGUUCCAAUGGAGCUCACCGAACGUCGUCGGUACUGUGUUGGAGGCUUGGAGCUAUGCGCCGGGCUGCAAUGGUGUUGUGCUGAAAGCUCAAUGCUGCCCGCCGGCGGCGGAGCUGCAAUGCAACGUGGGCGCAGCUGCAACGCGCGGAUCUCACUGGCGGCGGAGCUGCAAUGCUACUCGUGUGGCGACUUCCUGAUCUCGCCGGCGACGGAAACUGCAAUGCAACGGGCUGUUUUUGCUGUGGGGGAUUUGACCCGUGGUGCAUGGCCGGUGCAGGUACUUACACGGGAGGAGGGGAGGACCAGGUUGUUGACGACGAGCGACGGACGACCGAGUCAAUUUCAGGCUUGGAAAGGGGAAGGAUGCACGUGGUCUAGCUGGCUUAAAUCAAACGGCUGCGCGCCUCUCAUCGAACGGCUAGCUAGGCGGUUUAGAAUUUGACUCCUGUCAACCGGAUGACGCGUAGCACUGGCCAUUGGAGAUAACCACGACCUGACUUUAUCUGGCUCGGUCUUUUCGUACGUCGCUCCCCUGCUACCGUGUUACCCAACACGUAGUACUAUUUUUUCUCCGUGACUCUAGAGGACGAGGACAGUUGGAGUCGAACACCGAUAUCCCUGGCCGACUUCCCAAUUCCUUCCAUAAAUAUCGUCUCGGCAGAGACGGAGGCCUGGAUAUGUGAAGGCGGUGCAGAAACAGACGGCCGUGCCGGCAAUGAUAGGUGCCAUACGAACUCGCCGAUGUCGUCCGUUGUGUCGUCAUCGGCAGAAAGUGAGGAUCUCCCUCCUCCUAGCCGACAGCCGGACCGCCGUCGUGCUAUCCGCCGGCCCAUGAGCAAGAUGCCCCCCAUCCGCCUCGCCAACAGACGGUCCGCCGUCAUGCAGGCAUGGCACGGUCCCGGUCCCCGAUGAACGCCGCCAGCCGAUGCACUGGUCGAACGAGAUAUCGUACAGUGCUGGGUAUCGCGUGUGGCCAUGAUUGCGCACGCCUGUCGUUCCCGAUCAGGUCGCACCGUAGGAGGACAAUGAUUUCGCAUGUAAGACACCUCCACGGACUGCAUCAGCACUCCAGCCGUCUCGUGCCCGGCGGCAGCGGCAAGACAGCACAGCGGGAGGCAGAGGUAAGUAGACGAUUGUGGUAGCAGCGACGAACAGGCUGGAGGAAUUAGUGAUGUGUACUUGCAGUUGUCAUGAACGACAAAUUAACACGUACGGCUUGUGGACACUAAUAGGCUUCUUUCAUUAACAUGGAACACAUUGGCGUUUAAACAUCUUCUCUUUCCCAUUACAGGACACAUGCCCUGUUCUACGUCUUUAUGUAGUAGAUCAAACAGCAGACCUCCCAUAAAAAAGAAGCAGAGAUGCUUAAAUUAUGGCCAUGGCCGAGCUAUUCUGUUGCCGUGUCCUCAUGUGAAUGUGUGUGUUGUCUGAGUCGAGCUGGUGUUUAGAAAAAAACCAACAAACAGGAGCCUUCAUAUCUAUCACGCUCAAAUGGCAUGCAAUCAUGCAUGUACGCGCAAAUUGAAAGCUUAAUGAGUGAUAUUAAAUAAUGAGUUCCCCUAAAAAUAUAUUAAAUAAUGAGUGUGAUUUUUGUAUCCUUUAUAUUCCAUUAAUAGAUGGAAAUGUGUAUUUUAUUAGGUGAUUUGUUAACAAUUUAGAUUUUUGUUGCAAAUAAUAAUAUUUCGCUUUUUCUGAUCAACUACUCCAAUUAUGGAGGUCAAUGUUGGAGUACGAUUUUACCGAGGUAAAAUAUGUUGUUUGUAAGAGAUUUUGUAUUCUUUACCAAUACAUGGACACCAUAGAGUAGCUCUUCACGCCUAGCUCAAGUGGAAUGUGUUUUUAAGUUAUAAACAUUUCCUUGUAUUGGUAUGGUUUAAUGGAUGGGUGAGCUCGUCGUCUUGGGAUUGACCAUGUUCAGAUGCCUUGCGACCUGUUAGACCGUUGGUGAUGGUGGAAAAGAGGAUAAUCGUCGACAAAUGGGGUGUCACAUUGAAAUAGAUGUUGUGGGCUGUGUGGGGGAGGUGUUGGGAAUGGGAUUAUGAUAAUUUUUUUUCCUAAUGCAACACACGGACAUAUUUGUUAGGAUCCAACAAAAUAUUGUGAUGCGCUAGGAAAACAAUACCAUUGGAAGCUAGGCGUCGAUGGAGACGUCAAGGUCACACGGCCACCACAAGUUUGCAUUGUUGUUUCUUUCCGUUGCAACGCACGGGACUUUUUGCUAUAAUAAUAAUAAUAAUAAUAAUAAUAAUAUAAUCUCUCCCUAUAUAAAGCACGGAUUAACUUUGUCGGGUUCACCGUCACAAUACGCUUUUUUCUCAUGUCAUAAUACGCUUUUACUAUUUGUAUGAAUAAAAUCGUAAUAUAAACGAGGUGGUACUAAUCUUUCCCUAAUAGCGUGCGCCCUGCGCUGCGUUUUUUCGGGGCCUGCACCCAUCCGCCCCGCACCCGCUUGGGCCUCAUGAAGCCGGCCCAUCUACACUGGGAAAGGCAAAAACAGUGGCGCCUUGUGUCGCUACCCGGGAUCGAACUCGCAAUCUCCUAGGAAAUUUGUAAGGCUGCAACCAACCGAGCUAGACAAUGUUUUUGUUUAGUCCCACCUCGCUUUAGCACAUCACAUAUCACCAGUUAAAAUAUGUGUGUGAAAACUGCACCUAUGUGGAAACUGGCUGCUCGAUGGAUUAUAUGGCCGCAAUGAGAAAACGCAUGCACACAAAUCGGCCCAAUGACUCCGCAUCUCUCAGAAAAAUAGAGAAAUACAGGAAGGAUAAUUCAAGGAAGGAUUGAGAAUUGUUGGGAAAAUUAGGGACAAAAAUAUAAGAAAGGUAAUUCAAGGAAGGAUUGAGAAUUGAGGACAAGUCAAUAAUAUAGACUGAGAGAAAUAAUAUAAAGGAAGGAACGAGAAUUGAGGAAAAAUCGUGCCAAAUUUCCAUGAUAUCCGUACGUGGAGGCUAAUCUUCUAUUUAAGUGGUGGGCUAAUUAAACAGGUUCCUAAACUAGGAGAGCCACCCAUGCCUAUAGGUGGGGAUUCGGCUUGCCUGCUCUAUACGUGGUGGCUGCUAUUUAGACAGAUUCCUAAGACUGAAUAAUAUAAUAUUGAAAGCCCCGACGUAAUGCCGGGAAUGAAUAUAUGUUCAAACUUCAAGAAGAAAGUUAUAUCCACGACUACAUUGGAUGUUUUUUUCUCCAUUGCGUCUUUGGUAUGACCGAGUCGACCAACACAUGCCGGUCACUGACAUGCUCUUCUGCUAGACAUCGUCACGUAGAAGCCUGCCUCGCUCAGCCCAGUGCCACCGGUCACAACGGAUGAGGAGUCGAACUCAAAUGUCAUGGUGUGUCCAACACGAACUACUCCAUUUUCCCUACUAUAUUAGCCGAAUGAUAAUAAAUCUUUGCCCAACGUUCUUAGUCUAGCCGAACACGAAGGAUGCUAAAGCAUCCAGUUCUUGGGCCUGGCCAACCUUGCUUAGUAACAAUUGGCAGUGUGGCUAUCGACAACGAGGGUGGAAAAGUGGAUAAGCGGAAACUUGAUUCAGGUGUCAUGUUCAAAUAGAGGACGCCGGCCUAAGAGUGAGGUCUUAGUCAUGUUUAUUUGGUUAGGGGCAUGGAGGUGAGGUCUUACGCCAUGCUCAAUUGGUUGAGUUAGGACUUGUGGUGUUUGUUUUCUCCCGUUGCAACGCAUGGGCAUUUUUGCUAUCUUUUCCUAAUAAUAAAGCACGGAUUGACUUUGUCGGGUUCACCGUCACAAUACGCUUCUUCUCGUGAAUUUACGUUUUCAGUUUUUUUCCGACACGUCCAUAUUUUUUCCAAAAUUCAAGGUGGUACUAAUUAAAUCUACGGUCCCUUUUUAGAUGUUACUUUAAGCCGACACCUUGUCCUACGUUACGUGUAGGUUUCAGACUCCAGAGAUAACUCCCGUUGAAGAACGAACUGGGAAACUCCCAAACUUAUAAAUAACUACAUUACUAAUCCCUAAUACAAAGAGAACAGGCGCAUAGAGAAUCCCCUCGAUUUCCUCCUCAUAUAUCGCACGAACUCGAUGAUGCCGCCGCCAAACCACCGCAAGUCCAAGAGCUUGAUUCUCUCCAUCGCCCUCGCCGACAGCCGGGCCACCAUCACGGCAGGAACUCGCCGAUGCCAUCCACAUGCCUGAUGCUCUCCCUCCGCCUCACCGACAGCCGAACCGUCGUUGGUCUUGCCGGCAUGGACCUGGUCCAUCAUGAUCGCCGCCGGCCGCUGUUAUGGCCGUGUUAAAAAAGGAUGUUGUAGAGGCGCUGGGCGCCAUGCGUAGCCACGACUGGAUGGCCUGAUCUUCCCAGCCAGGUGGCAUCGUAGGAUGGCAAUGAGCUCACAUGCAGGGACUACGUCCGGCACUCCGGCCGUCGCGCGUUUGGUGGCAACAGCGAAGGCAGCAAGGCAGAGGUGGCGGUGUGAGGGCAGAUUGAAGGUGCUUGGAUGCAUCCCUACUGGCCACCGCAUCUGCACAUCGUACUCAUAAUAGUUCCCAGGUGUUGGUCAACCUUUUCCCUCUCACGGUUGCACCAAUCCAUGGCUGCAUAUGGUGGCCAUAGACAAAGCUUUUCAAGAAGAGAUAAGAAUCUGGUAUAUGGCUCGUGUAAAAAGUCUUCCAACUGCCUAGAUCUAGGCUUGUGGAUGCAUGGUGUCUUCUUGCCCAAAGUCGUCGGCGUGCACACAAGACGAUGAGAGCUCGUUUUUUUGCGAAAGAGAGCCCAUAUUUUCAACCACUCUAUUUUUUCCUUCAGGUCUUGUGGCAUCAAGGCGGUGUGGCACUUGAUCUUUGUGCGUGUGCAUGCGUGGAAAUUGGAUGUGCUGCUGCUUACACACUAAAAUUGUAGCUAUUUGUUUUUCGACAAAGGGUGAAUUUUAUUGGCUCAAAAUAGAGCAUCAAGAAGAUACAAACAUAAUGAGCACACCCGGCCUCUGCAUAGCUAGGAUGCACACAGCCAACACCAACACACGCACACAAGAACAUACCAACAAAUAGCAAAGUCAUACAAGACCAAAGCUAUGCAUAGGUGAGAAAAAAAAAACCUGAAUCGAUCAAAUCCAUAAUCGGAAAACUACAUCAAUGACCAUAUCCACACCAACCAUCUUAUUACACCAAAUGAACGACGAGAUUCUUCAACAGCAACGCCUUCAGAAAGGGAGCGACGCUCAAUAGUCGCCGUCACCGGAUCCAACCACCUAAGGUCAGAAUCUAGGUUAUUUGUGGUGAGGUAAUUUUUGGUUGUGUGCGCUACUGCUUCUUAUAGACGUGAAUUUCUACUUCUUGCAAUUACUAAUGCACAAAUAUUUCAGAUUUUUUAUAUUCCAGACAUAAUAUUUAGUUUAGAAAGGCGGACAUGGCUGACACAAUGACGCAUAUAAUUUAAACCCCCCAUUCUCUGGCUAUAUGAUGCACAAAUGGGAUUAGUUUGGCAGUUCUAAACUGGUCUGCCGAAGGUAGCGCUAUUGUGGCCUAGAACUCACUUCUUAACUGCAAGGUCCAUGUGUUGUCUAGAUGCGCAACUCUUGCUCCAAACUGUAGAGGAUAAUGGUGCAUAGACCAAGUGUGAGGAGUAGCUCACGGAGGGUGGCCAUCACGUCGAACUUGGCAACUAUAGUUUUUAAACUUUAAACAUUCUCUUGCGUUGGUGAGGUUUAAUGACAGGUGUGUCGUACGUUGGUGAAGUUUAAUGACAGGUGUGUCGUGUGUUUUAUCAUAGAAUUAACCACUUUCGGACAUGUUUGUCAUCAGGUGGACACCAUGGCCUCCAUCGAUGAGGGCAAAAAAAAAUAAGCAGUGAAGAUAUGGAAGUCUUAAGACAUGCUAAUUUAGCUAGGGGCCUACCAUAUAUAUUACCCCGUUGCAACGCACGGGCAGNNNNNNNNNNNNNNNNNNNNNNNNNNNNNNNNNNNNNNNNNNNNNNNNNNNNNNNNNNNNNNNNNNNNNNNNNNNNNNNNNNNNNNNNNNNNNNNNNNNNNNNNNNNNNNNNNNNNNNNNNNNNNNNNNNNNNNNNNNNNNNNNNNNNNNNNNNNNNNNNNNNNNNNNNNNNNNNNNNNNNNNNNNNNNNNNNNNNNNNNNNNNNNNNNNNNNNNNNNNNNNNNNNNNNNNNNNNNNNNNNNNNNNNNNNNNNNNNNNNNNNNNNNNNNNNNNNNNNNNNNNNNNNNNNNNNNNNNNNNNNNNNNNNNNNNNNNNNNNNNNNNNNNNNNNNNNNNNNNNNNNNNNNNNNNNNNNNNNNNNNNNNNNNNNNNNNNNNNNNNNNNNNNNNNNNNNNNNNNNNNNNNNNNNNNNNNNNNNNNNNNNNNNNNNNNNNNNNNNNNNNNNNNNNNNNNNNNNNNNNNNNNNNNNNNNNNNNNNNNNNNNNNNNNNNNNNNNNNNNNNNNNNNNNNNNNNNNNNNNNNNNNNNNNNNNNNNNNNNNNNNNNNNNNNNNNNNNNNNNNNNNNNNNNNNNNNNNNNNNNNUUACGCUUUCACUUUAAAUUUAAAACAUAUACACAAGGUGGUACUAUAUGUUUUAUGUGCCCAAACUUGUAGCUAAAAUUUCCUUAAAACGUUUCGGAGACUCUGUCACCUCCGUAGCCACCGGGAUAGGAGCGGCACAUCUAUAAGUAGCGAGAUCUGAGAGAACGCUGAACCACGCCGAUCGAACAUCGUGGACGCCAUCAUGGAUACGCGCGUGAGCUGCGCCGCCGAGCAGAGAAGGUCGAAUGGGGGACGGCUCCGGCGGGGCUCUCGUCGGCGAACUCGUCGGCCGUCCGGCUCUCCCCUCCGCCUCUGUCCCUCUCGGCCUCUCCUCCGCCUCCGGCGUCCCCGGCCCCCCUGUAGGUGCGUCUCCAUCCCAGCAUCUGAGCUCCCCUGUCCUCGUUGGCCAGCAGCCGUGAUGAGGCGCUCGUCGGUCGGCAGCCAUGGCGCCGCUGGGUGGAGAAGAUUGGCGGUGGCGUCAGAUCUUCCCGUCGUCCGGUUCAUCUCGUGCACCGUCACGUCCACCGCUUCGGCCCCGUCACGCGCGCGGCCGUGGUGUACAUGGCGCCCAUCCUCCCCGGCCCCCCGGGACCUCACCUGCCCCGCUCGGCCCGUCGACGACGACCACGUCCCACCUCGCGUCUAGCACCUCCCGCGGUAAGGAGGUCAGCACCAGCCGGCAACCCAACUUGCGCACCGUCCCCGUCGGGCGCCGGCACACCGGGCUCGACCUCGCGCGCCGCAGCACCGCCCACGCCUCCCCUGCCGGGUCGGGGUACCUUGAAACAUGGACGGCCGCCGAGCUGCUGGGGCCACGCCCAACGAGCAUGCCCCCCCGCGUCCUCGGCGCUGUCGGUGACGGAGGCGGUGGCAGCGCCCUGCCCGGAGUUGACCGCGGCGAGCGCGAGGAGCUGCGGCGAGAGGCCGAACACAAGCAGCCUGCUGGGCGCGCGCGCGGCCACGAUGGAGCGGAGCAGCGCGAACUCCUUGGCGUUGAGGCCGUCUGUGGACGAGAGGUGAAGAGCGAGGAGGUGGUGGUCUGGGACACAGCCAAGGUGCAUCCUGCGCAUCAAUCAGAGACGAAGGCCAGGUAUGUAUGCAAUUAAUUCAAAGAGAUUUACUGAUUUACUUUAAUGACUACUCAGGAAGUAUGUGACAGGGAUGUUUCUCCACUGACCCCUGGAUCAUGAACGCUAAUUACAGUUGCGGAUCUGCAUAUGUGUGACUGGGAUUUUAUGGCUGCUGCAUGGCAUUGGGCAAUAUGGUGGAAUUGUUGUGGGAUUUUGGAUGUCUUUGCGGGUUCACAGAGAUAGAUGUAGGUGAGUUUCUUCUGUGCUUAUGAUUGUGUUUGAUAAUGCCUCGUUCAAUGAGCGUGCCAUUCGACCAAUUGCGAUCGUUUCGUGGCUGAUGCGUUGCCACUUGGGCCUCAGCCUGUUUGUGUGAGAUGUUCCAGCCCCAGCGAGUGUUUCUGUAAUAAAAUGUAGAAGAUUAUGGUUAAUAGAUAGUCCCACAUCGUUUACUUGUAGACAGUCCCACCAAUUUAAAUGUGUUUGUGAGUUGACGACAACAAGUAGCAUCAAAGGAGUUGGUCAAAGAUGGAAUAAAUGGAGCGGGAGAUGCUACCUCAAGAAUCAAAGGAAUUAACAAAGAAAGAGAACAGAGGGAACUCAGGCGAUGUCAUGGCCCGAGCAGAGGCAGUGGUCGACUGUGGGAGGGCAAAAGAAUAGAGGGAACUCAGGCGAUGUCAUGGCCAGAACAGAGGUGGCGAUGGACUGUGGGAGGGUGGGCCGGCAGCGGGCAAACUUGGGCGGCGUUGGUUCACCGUCGAGGUCAGGGGAGGGAAGAAAAGGAAGGAGAGGAGGCGCGGAGGAGGAGCUCGCCGGCGGCAACGCCGUGCCAGAGGCGCGGGCAGCGGGGGAAGCGAGGAGAUCGGGGCAUGGGGGCUAGCGUGCCUGUAUGGCGGCGCAAGAGGGAAAGGAUCGAGAGAGAGAGGAGAGGAAUUUUAGGAUCGGUCUGCUCUAGGUUUUUUUUUAAGCAACUUCUGGUAGGGUAAGAGAAACAGGAGAUGGGCCUUUGCUAGACCAGCUAGGCAAGUGGGCCUCUCUCUCUCUCUUUGCUGUUUUUAUUUCUUUCUAAUUUAGAAUAAACAGAGAACUAAAAGAAGUGAGGAAAAUUCCCCUCGAGUUUUGAAGUGAGGAUAUUUGCCCUGGAUCAAUUUAAAUGUGCUUAAUCCAGGAACAUAUAGGAUUUGGUCAUGAUGGAGGAAUUUAAAUUUAAUUGAAAACAAAUAUACACGGAUCACUAUGCCUCAGAGCUAGCCGAAACGCGGUUCACUCGAUAGAAGAUGGGCAAGUUUGGUAAAAUGAUGAAUAUACACAAACAAAUACUCCCUUCAUCCCAAAAUUCUUGUCUUAGAUUUCUCUAGAUACGGAUGUAUGUAACACUAAAAUGUAACUAGAUACAUCCGUAUUUAUAGACAAAUCUAAGACAAGAAUUUUGGGACAGAGGGAGUAGUAGAUGGGCAAGUCGUGUACACAAGGAAAAACUCAUGAAUUUAUUUCCAUCACGGAAAAAUACUCCCAUGGUUCCCGCAAGCACAUCGGUUGAUUUCAAUUAGAAAAACACACCGUGUAUGUUGCUGCCAAAAAAAUAAAGAGGAAUAACCCAGUAUGGACUCGGCGGUGAGUGAUGCAAUGAGGAAGCACGCCAUGCUCCUCAGGUUAUUCCUCCAACGACACCUGAUAAACGCUAGCUUCAAGACGAUAGGAAUAGGAAUACUCUAGGACCAAUCUGUCGAGAAGCAUGGUCGGCGGUGAGUGGGAGCCAAGAUCACCAUGCCAUGCACACAUACCACCAUCCGCGUCAGCAGUUGCCACCGUCUACAAGCGUUUGUAAGAACAUGAACAUAUGUCCAUGGGGAUGGGAGCCGAGCCGAACACCCAUAUAAAAUUGUAUAAAACUCACGGGCACUCACAAAAUUGAUGUUUGGAGCAACGAUUUGAGUGUAUUUUCUCUUUUCUAAAUUUAAAAUUAGAUGCAAACAAUCAAAACAUCUUUAAAGAAUAGGUUCAAACAAUCAAAACAUGUAUGCUCUACAUGAAAAAAAAUAACUGCACAUUUGAGUUUUUGUUUUCUUUUUGCAAGAAACAGUCAUAUUUCGGGUACAAAGACCAAGGAAGACCAUGUAAAAAUACAACUACAUGUUAGAAAAUCCACACUAGAAGUAGAUACUCUGUAGCAAUCUCUAUAGUGGAAAACAAUGCAUGCCUCUGUAACUACUGUUGGCACUAUUAAACUUGAUUUGGGAAAUUAAGCUUUAGUAAUAUUUCAUAUUCAUGGUUUAUGCUAUUACUGCUUCUCUGCCGUGUUGAAAUGGUGGGCGUGUAUCUAUGUGGGCUCUUAAACCACUAUUUUCCUAAGAUUGAGUUUUUUUUCUUCCGUUGCAACGCACGGGCAUAUUUGCUAGUAAUAAUAAUAAUAAUAAUAAUAAUAAAGUACGGAUUGACUCCGUGGGUUCACCGUCACAACACGCUUCUUUCCGUGAAUUUACGCUUUCAGUUUUUUUCACCUAUAUUAUUUUCUACAUCCGAGGUGGUAUUAUUAGUAGUUAUAGAUUUGAGGUGGUACUAAAAAUUUGUCCAUCUAGAAUAAGCCGUACGUUGUCUAAGCAACGUUCAACUGGGCCGAUUUUGUUUCCGUGUAGCAAUGAGCCAGGCAAGUGGGCUUUGUACUGAAGUUUUUUAUGGGCUGUGAGCACGUGAGUGGACUUUUCAGAAUCAGGUGUAUACGAGCUUGUUGCUCAAAAAAAAGGUGUAUACGAGCUUGGAUAGAACUCAGAACCUCUCCUCCUGUCCCACCUCGCUUCUUUAGAUACAAUUCUACCGGUUCAUAUACUUAAGCAGUUUGGAGGAUCAACAAGAAGAAUUGGGUACCCAAGGAAAGGAGGCGAAAAAGAAUUAACCCAACAAGGAAACGAAGGAACACCGAGAAUGGAUCAAAAGGAGCAACUGUCCCUGAUUGUUGUGCCAGCUAAAGUAUUGACUUAUGAUGAUUUAGCUUAGCUUCAAUCAGUAAGUUGUUCUUAAUGCGCAAGAGAGUGGAGAGAGAGAGAUAGAGAGAGCACCGGGAAAGAGAGUGAGUCGAUGAUAAAAAAAAAGUCCAAAAUGCUACAAUGUGCAUGGGCCAUCGGAAUAGAUCGACCCGCGGCAACUAACUAACCCGGCAAAGAAAGGAAGACACCCUAUUUGUCAUGCGAGUUUUCUAAAAAGCCAUAAUCAGUGUUCUUCCAGCUUGGGCUAAACUUAUUAGUGUUUGUCCAGCUUGGGCUGAAAUUUUAAUCAGUCCAGCUAGCUCUUUCUACGUACUUGAUCCAGUGUACAGAUCAAUUAAGGCAUUUCCCUGAAUUAGCUUUGCAUGUACCGCAAAGUAAUUCUGUUGAUGUGUUUCUUCGUCCAAAAGUACCGACUGCUAGGGUCACACAUUAUGCUCGUCGAAACCUAUACUACGUGUUCAGGUGUGCGCCAACACUAACCCAACACGUACUACAACACCGACACCACCUUGUAAAAUUCGAGGACCCGGUGAAAUCAAGCAGACACCGCCAUGGAGCGGUGAUGUCGCAUGAAGUCCAUCAUGACUUGAUGCAUUGUGUAUGUGUGCUUCUACUCACCAAAAAAAGAUAGCUUGGCAUACUAGCUAGGAAGCCUCUCAGAAAAUUCAUCCAUUUGCCUGCUUCCAAAUCAUGUACACGUGUGUACAUUGUUGUGGCCAAAAGUAUCGACCAGCAAGUUUGUCCGGGAUAAAGGAUAGCCACGAUGAUGGUUGGAUGCCGUGUUAAAGAUAUACUUUUUCUCCCGUUGCAACGCACGGGCCCUUUUGCUAGUAUAGCUAAUGAGAAGAUCGCACAUGGUUUUAGGAACUUUCAGGAAGGUUCCAGCCCAGGUUUCUAAUGGUUUUCGGAAUCUUCUAGCAGGUUCCUGAACCGAUUUUUGGACUAGUUUUCUGGUUCCUUUUUUUAUUUUUCGUUUUCGUUUUCCUUUUCUUUUUCUAUUCUUUUUUUCCUUUUCUAUUUCUAUAUUUUUUUUCGUUUUUGUUUUCUUUUCUUUAUGAUUUUUUUUCAAAAUUUCAGAACUUUUCAAAAGUUGUUCAAGAACUUCAAAAAAAUGAUUUCAUCUCAAAGACCGUUCACAAUUUUCGGAAAAUUAUUCGCAAUUUGUUUUCAAAAAAUGUUAAUGUGUUCAAAUUUUGUUUGGGAGUUUCAAAAAAUGUUCCUAUUUCAAACUUUGUUCGCAAUUUUCAAGAUUUUUUUUAUAUUUUUCAAUUUUUGUCAGGAGUUUCAAAAAUUGUUCGCAAAUUUCAAAUAAUGUUUGUGUUUUAAUUUUUGCAGAGAGUUCCAAAAAAUGUACAUAAUUUUUAAAAAAUGUUUGUGUUUGCAAAAAAAUUUCAGGAGUUUAAAAAAAUGUUCCUAUUUUAAGAAAAAUGUUCGCUUAUCCAAAAUUUGUGUUUGGAAUUUGGAAAAUGUUUCAGUUUUCGAAAAAAAUCAUUUUCAAAACAUGUUCUAGUUCUCAAAAAGUGUUCAUGUUUCCAAAUAUUGUUCAUCUCAAAUUUGUUCUACAGAUUCAGAAAAUGUUCCUGUUUUAAUUUUUUUCGUGUUUCCAAAAUUGUUCAUGUUUUCGAUAGUUGUUCGCAAAUUUCAUAAAAUGUUUCUGUUUCCAAAAAUUGUUCAUGUUUUUAAAUUUGUUCUGCUGUUUCAAAAAAUUUGCGUGUGUUAAAUGUUUUUGGUUUUUCCAAAAUUGAUCCUGUUUUAGAAAUUGUUCGCGAAUUUCAUUAUUUUACCUUUUUCCAAUUUUUCUGGAAUUUCGAGCAAAAAUUUAAAACACGAAAAAAGGAAGAAAAAAAGGAUCUUCGUUGUUUUUGGUUCUUAUAAUGUUGCGCUACCAAUGUAAACAUUCGUUGUGAUAAUGUCUACUGGCUAGCACAGUCGGCUCUUUCACCAGAGGUCCCGGGCUCAAUCCCUACAGUACGCGAAAUCUUUUAGAGGUCAAUAGACUCGCGCUACAGUACCCAUUCCGCUGGUCGCUAGCUUGGGCCGGCCCAGUCAGGUAUGCGUCUGUGCGUGCGUCCGGCAAUUUGCCGCAAAGAGCGGCACAUAGGAGAGCGCGUCGUUGUGGUCGAGAUGGGAACAAGGGAGCUACAUGGGCUAGGUCUCAUGGUUUUGAUGGGCUUGGCCCAUGUGCGACUAUGCGGACGACGUGACGAAAGGAGGAUGAAACGAUGGGCGAAGCGAAGAGGCGUGGUCAGUCGGCAGCAAAAGAAGCCUUACUCUCUUUUUUAAGUAGUAGAGUUUUUAAGUAGUAGAGAUUUAUUUGGCAUUUAUUUGGAUAAGGAUAACCUUUAUCCAAAGAAAAACGAAACAAGUCAUAUAAUGACAUUAAUUGGAUAAGGAUAACCUUGAUGCCAACAUAUCUAUAUAAGGCGACUGAACGGUACCUCUCAUGACCACAAAAAUAUUCUGGUUGACAGAUUAUUCCAUAACUAUAUAUUUUCUAUUAUUCCGUGUUCUUAGGCAAUGGCGAACAGUGGCAUCUUCCAAGUGAUCAUUCUUUUUCUCAUGGCGCAAGUCUGCUUGCUCAUGAUGAUGGCAGCACCGGUAGCACAUGCAGCUGCUAGACCGGUGGGGUACAAUCCAGUGUGCUGUCCUAGGAACAUCUAUUGUUGCGGGUUCGGUAGCGGAUUGGCCAAUUCACCCGCACCAUCCAUUGUAUCUUGAUGUGUGGUUUUAUUCUCCCCCAAGUAGUAAGCUUGACAUAUAAAUGAUAUAUGUGAUUUAUGUGUUACCUAAUCCUGGAUAUUUGUGAUCCUAGUUUCAAAAAGUUAUUGUACUAGUUACUUACAUAAUAAAAUGGGAGGAGAUUAUUAUAUAUCUUGUUCGGAGUAUACCGCAAAGAGACUUAAUCUUAUGUUUACUUUAGCCCUUUUGAAAACUAGAUUUUUGCCGCAUUGAUUUAAGACAAAAAGAGAGUGGCUAGGCAUACAGGUUGACCUCAUGAGUCUGUAGUGCGUGCCUUUCGGAAUCUCUGUUUUAUCAUUCUGUUGGUCAUAUGUUGUGUCAAGAUCGUCCGUGUUAUGGUGACAUUCUUUAUUUUUCGCAGAGAUCAUACUUUUUUAAAGCAUUUAUUGGGUAAUGAAGUAUGUCACCAAUAAUUAGAAACCAGCUACUAUUGGCAGGCUUGUUUGUGCAUUCAGGGAUGCACACUAUUUCUUUUUGCAUGAAUGUCAAGGUCAUAUAUUAAAAUGGUCUCGUCCCCCGCAGCGGUGGUUCCGGGCCAGGAUCGAAGCAGGCACCGAGGACUUGAUUGCUUUUUGUUUCGUCUUCUAGGGUCCUAUUGGCAAAGUUUCUCAUCUGGGCUGUCAUUUCUACUUUCCGUUGGGUCCUUUUGUAAAAUGUUGCAUCCUGUUUUGUCUUCUGGGGUCCUAUUUGUAAAGUUUCUCAUCUGGACUGUCAUUUCUACUUUCUGUUGGGUCCUUUUGUAAAAUGUUGCAUGCUUAUCUAAUUUAAGUCUGGGUUCUUCCGGAGUUCGAAAAAUAUAUAUUAAAAUGGUCCAACCCUUACAAAACCAUCCUUCCAAAAGCAGAAAAUAAAACACAUAUCCUUGUGUAUAUCAACGACGUCUUUCUCUCGCACUCGCACCCCGUGAGCAAAGCUCGAUAUUGCGUUUGUAUAUCCAACACACCCUCAGAGCUAGGGUAAAUCAUUCUCUGCAUGUGCUUAAUUCCUAAAAAAAUCAAAAAAAAUCAUAUAUGAAUACAACUCUUUGCUCUUUGACAGAGCACAAAAGGAUUGUUUGUUGUGGAAUAUGUGUAAUCUAUCUAUCUAUACUUUAGAGAGUUCUCAGAAACUCCAACGGUUAAUCAGAAAUUACGAACCGUUCAUCUGGUGGGACGGAGUUUGGCACAAGGUCUGGGCAAGGACCGAAAAAGGGAAGGGAAAUGGAUAGAAACUAAAGUGAAGGCAGAGGAUCAGUAGACAAAGAGAAGUGAAGGCCCUGCCCCGAGCUACUCACUAAGCGCAAGCGGUUUCAAUAGUAGAUGCAAUUCUUUUUUUUAUUACCAACCGCCUCGAAUACUUACAGCAAGAGGUUAUGUUGUUCUAACCGCCUCCGGUGUGCAUAUUACAAUCGACUUUGUUCUAUUUGAUCACAACCGCUUGCGGAGGCCGCUUCUAAUGCCCAUUUUCUACUAGUAAAUGUUGGUUAAGUGCAUCAACUUGUGGUGUUUGCAUUGUUCAUGGUCGCCUUUGGUGAAGUUGGAGUCACUGGAUCUAGGGCGAUAGGUGAUAAUGAUGACGCCUUUGUCCAACCAUGGCGGUUGCUCUUUCCGGCUCUGUGUGGAGUCUAUGUUGGUAGCUAGAUCGGCUGCUGCCAUGUGUAUUGUCAUGUUCCAUGACGAUAGUCUGCUCGGCGUGUUGUUAUGAUUUUUGCUCAAUUUUUAAAAAUUAACCAAAUAAUUCUUUUUUGUUAAUAAUGAAAAUGACAAAUCUUUUCUCUCGUUUACUUUUUUUGCAAAUCAACUAAAAGCAUCCACAGCCAAACCUCCUAUUUCUCCUCUAAAAGUCCGAAACGUUCGUUAAUUAGUGUCCGGUGAAAAAAAGUGACCCAACCGGACCCCCACUUCAUCCCUAAGACCGAGACGGCAGGACGCGGCUGCGGAGCUCGCGCUUGGCGGUGCUACUGUGCCUUGGCCGGCCGGAGCUCGCGGGUGUUGCGGCUGCAGUGCCCGUCCUCCGCCGCGCCGGGGCCGAAGCUCGCCUGCGCCUGGCUCCUGUGCCUGCCGCGCCACGCUCGUGUCGGAGUUCGGCAUGGCUGUUGUGCCCGCGCCGCCCCGGAGCUCGCGCCCCGAGCUCUAGCCGUCGUGCUUGCCACCGUGCCGUGCUAGCGCUGGCCACCGCGCUCGGGCUGGCCGUGGUGCUCGCGCAGCCGUGCCGUGCUAGUGCUGUCAUCGCGCUCGAGCUGGCAGCCAUGCUGGCAUAGCCGUGCGUGCGUGCUGGCCAUUGUGCUUGCGCUCGAGCUGGCCUCCAUGCUCACACAACCAGGCAUGCAUGCUGGCCGUUGUGCUCGGGCGGCCAUGUCGUACUAGCGCUGGCCAUCGCGCUCGAGCUAGCCGCCAUGCGUGCUCGCGUUCUUAGGCAAUGGCGAAAAAUAACAUCUUCCAAGUUAUCAUUGUGUUUUUCAUGGUGCAAGUCCGCCUGCUCGUGAUGAUGGUAGCACAGGCAGCACAUGCAGCUGCUAGACCGUUGGGAUACAAUCCAGCGUGCUGCCAUGGGAACAUCUUUUGUUGCGGGUUCGGUGGAGGAUUCGCCAAUGCACCCGCACCAUCUAUUGUGUCUUGAUGUGUGGUUUUAUUCUCCCCCAAGUAGUAGUAUAUAAAUGAUAUAUGUGAUAAAGAGCAUCGUUACAAUCUUCAUACUCUUCAAACAAAAAUUCAAUUUCAUAACCACCCUUCAAAGCAACAAAUUCUUCUAUUUGUUCCACAUCAUAGUAAUCAUAUACACAAUUAGCAUAAGAAGCUAAAGUUUCAUUCUCAUUAAAUUCACAUUGAAAGGGGAGGUGUGGAGCCUCCAUGUUAGAGCAACAAGUACAAUCAUAUCUUAAGCAUAAAUUCCAAGCAUACCCACACCGAUGACCGGCCCUCCUGCCGGAAUAGGUAGCGAAGACACUUUCCACCACCCUGCCGGCCACUGCCGCCGCUGGAAACCACACUCGUGCCGGCCUCCCACUGGAGCCAAGAGAGCUUGAAAACUGACGGCGGUUGGAGGAGAAGACAACCGGCAAGAAGGGUCACGGCUACCAAGUGCUCGACGAAAUGCCAACAAGGUAAAGAAAAUCGUCUUUCACAUUUCGGCCAACGAGUUUUAGACGGUGAUUGCUGUUGACUGAUGGUGAUGGAGUUUGUUUGUUUUGUUGUCGUAGUGUGGAUAUGAACACGGCCGUAUUUUUAGCGUCUUUGGAGUCCUCGGCGGUGAUGGUGCUAGAUGAUCUCAAUUAUGACUUAGUUUGGGAUCUUUCGGAGGCGGCCGAAGAGAUGGAAGAAGAGGAGGUGGCCGACGAAGAUGAAGUUGAGGAGGUGGCUGAAGCAAGCAUGCGGUCGUCAAGGUCACGCACCGCCAACUACAAUCAAGUUGAAGAUGUUGCUCUAUGCUAUGCUUGAAUGAACAUCUUCAUGGAUGCAAUGAUUGGAACGAAUCAAACCAAGACUAUGUUUUGGGGGAGUUACGGACUACUACAACAAGUCCGUGGAGGUGCAAUCAAGCCGUACGCAAGGUUCUCUUGGGUAUCGUUGGAGCACCAUUUACGACCAAUGCAACCGAUGGUCCGGUUGCAUCAAUCAAGUGAAUCAUGUACCAGCAAGCGGUGUGCAAGUGGCGGAGUAUGGCCCCUACAUCAAAGAACUAUUCAAGCAUAGGAACACAAGUUCGGCCACAAGCCCUUCAUGUUGCAUCAUUGCUACAAAGAGCUAUGCAAGAACGAGAAGUGGAUCCAAAGAGUUUCGGAGACCACUCCAAAGAGACAAGGUUGAGCAUAUCUGUUGAGGAGGACAACGAGGUUGAUGAAGAGGCCAACAAUAGACUGAAAGGGAACGAAAUUGCAAAAAAAAGAAAAGAAGAGAUAUGCGUACGUUGGCACAUACAAAGAAGAACUUGUGGCCAUGAUUGAGGCCAAGAAGUUGUUGGCGACCGAACGCAAAGAAGAUAAGAUGGCGAGGUGGAAUGAGCUUUGGAGGAUGAGAAAUGAAAGGCCAAGUUGGUGGCGGAGGAGAGAAAGUUGAAGGUGGAGGAGUGUAGACUUGCACUUGAGGAGGAGAGGAUUCGUGUUGCCAAGAAAGCCGCAGACCGUGCUAUCAUGUUCAUGAAUCCAAACACAAUGGAUGAAACCGCAAGAAAGUAUUGAGAGCUCACUCGUGGGGACAUCUUGACCCAAACGGAAAGCUCUCUUCGGAAUGGUGGUCUUGGUGGAGGCCAAGAGGAUGGUGGUGGUGGUGGUGGCGGUGGUGGUGGUGAUGAUGGUGGUGGCGGCGGCCGGGACGAUGGUGGUAGUGAUGGUGUCCAAGAGGAUGGUAGUGGUGGCGGCGGUGACGAUUUCUUUGCCGAGGACUUCGUUUGAGUUCGUGCAUGCCAUUGGUUGGCUCGAUCCACAACAUACACAUGUUAUGUUUGUGGUGAUUUAGGGUCAAACUUUGUGUUUGAAGUAAUGCAUUUUGGGUGAACAAGGCAUGUUUGAAUUUGAAAUUCGUGAUGAUGAAAUUUAUGCUUUUUAACGGUUAUGUUAUGAAUGUUUUUAUGAUAUAUAUUGUGAAAUGUUUGAAGUUCAUGCGGCUAGGACACAAAACCUAUAUAAAUUAUUUUUUUACUUCACUAAGUUUAGGGGAUCGGCUAGGUGCGGUCACUUAUAGAGGAGUAAAAGUUUACUCCACUAAGCUUACUCUGUCGGAUCCUCCUCUAUUUUCUAGGGAAUCGGUUAGAAUUGGCCUUAGAAGCAACAUGCAAGAGAUCAAAUGAAGCGUACUAGUGCAUACAGGCUCGGUAUAAAAAUAAUGGGAUCUCUAACUAACCUCUAGCAGCACAACUUGAUCACAAACCAAACCAACGGCAGCUUCAUUAGGACCAGCUUCAUUGUGUUGACACCAAAAUAUAUCCAACCCAAUUAGGUGUAGAUGUUGACCUGUACCAAGAACGUCGGUGGGGUGGUAGUGUACUACGGCAACUCCACGCUGGACCUGGAUCUCGAUUUUUUUUUCUUGAACCGGGUUCAGCCCCUUCCCAUUACAUUCAUAACGAAAUUAGAACGGUCUGAAUCUCGGUGAUAUAUAGUUACCAGGUCUGGGGACCAAAAUACUUUAAGGGUGAUUGUAAGAGGCUUGUCAUCGCCAAAUGUAAGAUAGAACAUCACCACUACUUCCAGAACGUCAGGACCACUACAUCACAAUCAACAAUUAAUGCAGAGGUAGAACCAACCAACGACAGCUUAGAACCAACCUACUUAUGUUGACACCAAUACAUCUCCAACCCAAUCAAAUGCAAUGGUUAGGCUUGUCAUUGUGGGGAGCAAGGCUGGUCAUAGUGUGAAGUAAAUUAUACUAGUGUUAUGCAUAUGACACUAGUCUAUGUUACUACCUUCAUAGUAUAAAGUGUCCUCAAGGUAUUUAAGUGAAUACAAUAUUUAUGGUUUGUUACCAAACAACAGAAACCUUACAUAUACUUUGUUUGUCACAACAAAACUGCUCUAUGUAUGAUUCUUUUUUAUCGGACGCUGGUACGACCAGACAACAGAUGCUAUGACCCACAAACAGGUAAUCUAUGAUUUGUCUCUAAUCGUACUGAGUGUUGGACGGAAAUUCAUCGUACGUAUAGCAACGUUCUUGUCACAAAACAAUCAAUGUUGAAAAAAUUGAUCAGUACUAGUUUGAGCAAAAGGAACAUGGAUUGGCCAUUAAUUUGCAUAAAAAACAUGUCAUGGUGUUUAUCUUGGGGAAUCAUUUCUAUGUCUACUUUUCGAAGCAUAUUAAUUAAAAAAAUUGUUGUGUGUUUAAUUAAUCGCUACCCUUGCUCGUGCGCAUGCAUGCAGUUCCAACAGCUGUCUAGUUGCUAUCUCCAAGAAGCUGAAUGGUCGCACAAAAAUCACAAGCCUAAGUUUGAAGAUAAAUUGCAUUUAGAUACAUGUCCAUAGGUGCGGCAGAGCUAUGCGUCUAUACAAUGGUUUGCAUGGGUGAUGAAAUUCCCAAGGGAGCACUGGAGUGGGCACUUGCAUUGGCGAAUCCACGAAGAGAAUGGAGGGUGAGCUCAAAGUUAACGUCAUGUAAACUAAACGCUCUUUCGUCAAAAUUUGGAUAUGUUAAGUAAGAUGGUAAUUAUCUCCUAACAGGGUAGUCUAAAUAAGCCCAAAAAAUUUGAAAUUACUAAGAGCAACUCUAGCAGAACCCGCAAAAGACGCAAACCCGCAAAAUUCCGUUGAGUAUACGGGCUCGGCCCAAUUUUCUGCCAGAACAGAGCCCGUAUACUCGCCCGGCCCGUAAAACUUUUUACCUGGGGCCACAAACCGCCCCCCCAAGCAGUAUAUCUACGGGUUCGCGGUGCAUUUNNNNNNNNNNNNNNNNNNNNNNNNNNNNNNNNNNNNNNNNNNNNNNNNNNNNNNNNNNNNNNNNNNNNNNNNNNNNNNNNNNNNNNNNNNNNNNNNNNNNNNNNNNNNNNNNNNNNNNNNNNNNNNNNNNNNNNNNNNNNNNNNNNNNNNNNNNNNNNNNNNNNNNNNNNNNNNNNNNNNNNNNNNNNNNNNNNNNNNNNNNNNNNNNNNNNNNNNNNNNNNNNNNNNNNNNNNNNNNNNNNNNNNNNNNNNNNNNNNNNNNNNNNNNNNNNNNNNNNNNNNNNNNNNNNNNNNNNNNNNNNNNNNNNNNNNNNNNNNNNNNNNNNNNNNNNNNNNNNNNNNNNNNNNNNNNNNNNNNNNNNNNNNNNNNNNNNNNNNNNNNNNNNNNNNNNNNNNNNNNNNNNNNNNNNNNNNNNNNNNNNNNNNNNNNNNNNNNNNNNNNNNNNNNNNNNNNNNGCCCCUUCCGCCUCCAGCCGCCAUGUGGGGCCGCAAGUGGAGCUCCGGCCGUGACUCCAGGAGCAGGUCCGGCGGGGGCGGCGACCCCGAGCGCGAGUGGCGUGUCCGCUCGGACGGCGCGAGGAAGCGCGGGCCGAGGAAGUGGACGAACAGGGGCCUCUCGCCGCCGCCGAGCUUCCGCGUCCGCGAGACGGAGGAAUACGACCGUCGGCAUGGGCGUAUGCCCUUCUCGGCCACGGGCUCAUCCUCCGCCGCAAGAUCUUCUCACGCCGCGAGCUCUUCCUCUUCCGGCGCGAGCCUUCUCCUCGUGAAGAUGGAGUGGUCGGAGGAGCCGAAGGAGAUCGAGGUCGUCGCCGUCAAGCAGGAGCACGAGGAGAUCGGGAGCCGCGGCGUCAUCGGGCCUGAGGACUUCGUCGCCGAUGUCAACGCGGUCGCGGCUGCCAUUGCUGAACGCAGCUUGCGCGAGGAUGCGGAGCGCUGGUGCCACCACGAGGAGCUCGAAGACCUCGUGUUCCAGCAGGCGGUCGCGGCGAACCAUGCCGCCAAGGAGAAGGACGACAAGUGGCGGCGCAUCCGCGAGGAGCAGAAGGAGAAGUACAUCGACCUCGGCGGCUCCGACGAGGAGGAUUGAGCUCCUCCACCGCAUCGUCCAUGGCCGCGAGCUCGCCGCCGUGAGAUCCCCACCCCCUCUAGUACUAGUAGUGAAUGUAGUAUGUAGUAUGAACUAGUGUUUGUAAUGAAUUAGUGUUUGAUCAUGUAGUAUAUGUAGUAUGUGAUGAACUACUACGGUUGCAAUUUCUCCCGCGAAAUGCAGUUCCAUAUACGGUUUCUGUUUGGCCGCACACGUUUUCGACCCGCAAACGAGAUCUUCGUCGAACUGCAAACGCGUUUUGCGGGUCGGGAUUUUGCGGGGUCUGCUAGAGAUGCUAUAAGGAAACAUGUACUGUUUAUUGAACUUAUUUGCGAUUUUUUUCAAAAAUAUAAAAAAAUGAACAAAAAAAUUGGUUCUAUCUACGAAAAUAGCCAUUAUCUCUCAAUAGUGUUGUAGUAAUAAGCUCACAUUUUCCCAGAUUACAAAUGGACACAUGUAGUAUUUAUUGAAAAAAAAUUAGGAUUGGAAAAAAUACCACGUUUACACAGACCAAGAAGACUCGGUGUUUGGUUUUUAGGCAUAAAAAAGACAUUAUGUGUACUAAUAACGUAGUAGCAAGGAGUCACAUAUGGCAGUUUCUCCAUUUUAACAAGCAUGUGAGGUGAGCGAGUUCGUUAUCUGGUUGUUACAUAGCUAUAUCUAUUCGAGUUCGACUGCACCUUUUUGUAUUUUGUAGCUGUUCUCCGUGUGUCCAUGGGCUGUAUCUACAGUAGUAGCAAAAUAAUUAAGUUUUUCGAGGGCAUGCUUCACCCUAUCGAAGCUUACCUACUAGAAUCACCACUGGGCAUUGGAUACCCUGAUGUCGUCAUGGCAUGCGCCAAGAUUGAGCACCUAAUUGUUGACACACGAACACGUCACGUGUACCCUCGACGCUGGGGAUGAUGCACCGCAGCUCACGUCGAAGGAGACCCGACCGACAGUGCGAUACGCAAGACAGUCGACGGGCGCUUUUGCAGACCCGAAACCCCGCACUCCCGGGAGGGACCCGUCAGGGAGUGUGGCGGCUAUGGGCUGCCCUAGGUCGAUUCGCUCGCCCCUAGAGCAUCGGGAUUCGCAGCUCUCAAAUUCGAGGAACAGCGAAGAACGAGAGAAAAAAACGAUGGAGAGAUAAAACGUAGAUGAAAAAGUAGUAUAUUGAUUUGUUCGAUUGUGUGUUGUUCAAUCGGCCGUCACCCCCAAUAUAUAUAAGAGGCGGCUGGACUUCCCGUACAAGUAAAGGAUUCAUCUAGGCUUUCCUUACAAGAAAUUACAUCAAUUCACGUCCUAGAGUCCUAGUUCUAUUCUAACUCGGAUUCAGUCUGAAUCUGGCCCAACUUCUGUCUUCCUCCUUGCACGGGCCGUCGAGCUCGCAUAGAUCUCCGAUCAAGACGGCCCAAAUACCAAACUUGUGCGCCUCGACGAGACGAACAACUCUCAAGUUGAACACUUCUUCAAAUAAGGCCAUCUUGAAUACUUUUUGAUGUCAUCUUUACCUUCCAGUCGGACUCGGUCUUGUUGCAUCUGGAUUGUCCGAGUCUCGUAGUGAAUUUACAUGCCAUAUACUAUCUCUGAUGAUGAUGACUCCAAAACCAAAGUUUAUUUUUUUGACGAUACACACAACUUACGUAUUGAACACUUCUCCAUCCGAGGUCAUCUUGAUAAACUUUCGGGCACAUGUUCAGUUUCACUCGGAUUCGAGCUCAUCCACUCGGAUUAGAGUCAUUCACUCGGAUCGUCUGACUGGACUUUUUCACUCGGAUGUUAGAAUCUUUCACUCGGAAGACAAUUUUCACUCGGAUGACCAUAUUUUCACUCGGAAGGCAAUCUCUUUACUCGAUCAGCAAGUUUUCAUUCCGACGGUAAUCUUUUCACUCGGAUGAUUAUAUUUUCACUCAGAAGACAAUCUCUUACUCGAUCGGCAAGUUUUCAUUCCGACGGUAACAGUUUCACUCGGAUGAUAAUAAUUUCACUCGGACGAAAAACUUUCACUCGACCGGUAAGUUUUCACUCGGAUGGUAAGCUUUCACUCGAUCGGUAAGUUUUCACUCGGAUGGUAAGCUUUUCACUCGGAUUUUCCGACUGAAAACAUAGCCUGAUGUUGAUUUGUCUCUCCAGGCCUCAUACGACCUCGGAUUGAGACGAAUUAUAUAUGAAAAUCGAUCGGCUCGACGAGACGAAACUAUUCCGUGCUGAAGGUUUUUCGAUUCAAGGCCAUCUUGAGGGCCGAAUUGCUCACGCAUUGCAUCAGACACUCAUCAACAUGUGUCUGGUGUCAAGCGUAAUAUUUUGGUCUCUGGCCUGUCCAGACCGUAUUAACUGUAACUUUUGCAUAUUAACUCAGAUUAAAAUAAUUUAUAUAUGAAAAUCAAUUGCCUCGACGAGAUGAAGACAAUUCCUUUAGAGUGCUCCUUCAUCCGAGGUAGUCCUGAAUGUGUAAUUGGCCGAAAACCACUCGGAAGAUUGAAUUCUGCCACUCGGAGUACAAUUUCGGCCCCUAAUAUGGAGUCGGACGAUGAUAACCUAAACAUCAAAGUUGUUCCACUCGGCGACGUGAAACUUUUCAUGCUGAAAACCCUUUCACUCGAAGCCAUCUCAUUCUCUUUUUAUGCCGUGCCAAAACCUGAUGUCAACACAUGCCCCCUUAUUUUUCGGCAAAGCUUGCACGCCGAAAAAUAAUAUGCACGGUGUUUGUUCUAAGGACGUUGUCAACACUCCAUUGGCCAUUUAUUUUUUCUUAGGGCGAUAAUUAUGUAUCGGCCAUGUUUGUGCUAAGGGCGAUAACCGUAUAUCGGCCAUUUAUUUUUCUUAGGGCGAUAAUUAUGUAUCGGCCAUGUUUGUGCUAAGGGCGAUAAUCGUAUAUCGGCCAUUGCCUACUUAGGCUUCUUGCCACACACUCGGGUGGUAUUUCUUCAAGUAUUUGCCAUUGAGAGCUCUAGGUAACACCGUCCCUUGUAUGGAUUCCACCAAAUAUGAGUUUCCGAAAACUUUUCUUGUAAUCUUAAAAGGACCUUCCCAACUCGGAGACCACUUCCCGAAUGUCCUAUCUCUUGAACCAAUCGGUAGAAUCACUUUCCAGACGAGAUCACCAACUUGAAAAUUCUUCAACUUGACUUUCUUAUUGUAAGCUCUUGCCACCCUCAACUUGUCUCUCUCUAUGGCCUUCAAAGCAGCCAAACGUUUAUCGGCAACCUCAUCAAUAUUGUCCAUCAUCAAGUUAUAAAAGUCUACUGCCGAUAAAUUAUUUUGUUUGGCUAUUCUCAAAGCAUUCAAAUUUACUUCCACUGGUAAAACAACCUCUUGACCAUAUACUAGCUCAUAUGGAGUCACCUUCGUAGCACCAUGCCUUGAAAUUCUAUGUGCCCACAAAGCUUCAGACAACAACUCAUGCCAUCUCCUCGGAUUAUCCUCAAUCUUCUUCUUGAUGAGCUUGAUUAAAAUUUUAUUGCUAGACUCGGCUUGUCCAUUAGCUUGGGCAUAAUACGGAGAGGAAUUGAGCAACUUCAUAUUAUAAGAUUCGGCAAACUCUCUGACUUGGUGUGACAUAAAAGAUGAACCUUGAUCUGUAGUUAACAUUUGAGGAAUACCGAAUCUAUGAAUAAUGUGCUCGGUUAUGAAUUGAAUUACCUCUGUAUGUGUCAUGUUCUUGAGAGGUACUGCUUCAGACCAUUUAGUGAAAUAAUCAGUUUCCACCAAUACGAACCGAUGCCCUUUUGAGGAGGACUGGUGGAUUUCUCCAAUGAAGUCUAAACCCCAACCUCUGAAAGGCCACGGCUUGAUAAUAGGAUGUAACAUAGCAGCAGGAGCCAAUUGAAUAUCACCAAAUUUUUGACAAGCUUCACACCCCUUAUAACAUCCGAAGCAAUCAUUAAUCAUAGUCGGCCAAUAAAACCCAGCACGUCGCAAUAACCAUUUCAUCUUGGGAGCCGACUGAUGAGUGCCACAAAUGCCUUCAUGUACCUCUCCCAUAGCAACUCUUGCCUGGUCCUCGUCCAAGCACUUUAGAAGAACAUCAUCGACUGUUCUGCGAUAAAGACCGUCAUCUCUCAUUGUAUAGUUGAAAGCCAUACGCCGAAUAGACCUGUCCACCCUUUCACUCGGAUUGCACAAGUAAUCAACAAUGGGCUUCCUCCAGUCGGUAUUGUCACCUGCACUAGAUUUUUUGAUAAGGGCCGAAUCAGUGGGUUCUGGUUCGGCCUCUCCUAUAUUGGCAAGACAAGACAUCGGUCUUUGAGAAAUAUGAAAUAUGCCAUGAUCAACAUGAUAACCGGAUGCUUGCUGUGCCAACUCAUUUGCUCUCCAAUUGUCAUGCCUAGAUAUAUGAGCAAUGCUAAAACAAUCCAAUGUAGAAAUUAUAUCUAGACAUUUAUCAAGAUAAACAUUAAGUGAUUCGUCCAAACAUUGAAAGACUUUGGAUAUUUGCUGCACUACUAGUAACGAAUCACCGUAAGCCUCAAUAUGUGUAACACCUAUAGCAAGUAACAUCUCUAGGCCGAAUAACAAUGCUUCAUAUUCGGCUUGAUUGUUUGUGCAAAAAUAUUCUAAGCGGCACGAGGCUUCGGAAAUAGCACCAUGAGGAGAUAUAUAAACAAUACCAACACCUUGUCCAUUGCUACAAACUAAACCAUCAAAGUAUAAUCUCCAUGGUACUAAUGAAACAAGGUUCAUAUCAAUAUCAUGCUUGUCAUUAAUCCGAUGUUCAACAAUGAAACAAUGAAAUUAGCAACAAUUUGGCCUUUCAUGGAUUUUAGAGAUUCAUAAGCCAAAUCAUAUUCAAUCAAAGCAUAAGCCCACUUGCCAAUUCUACCACUAAGAAUUGGCCUAUGCAACAUGUAUUUAAUGACAUCGGUCUGACAAGCUACUACGCAAGCACUCGGCACUAAAUAAUGUCUCAAUUUUGUGCAAGCAUAAUAUAAGCAUAGACAUAAUUUUUCAUUAAAUGUAUACCUUGUCUCGGCGUCCAAUAAGCGCCUGCUCAAAUAUGUAAUAGCAUGCUCUUUUCCUUCGGUUUCUUGAGUCAAAACAGGACCAAUAACACCUUCCUCUGCUGCAAUAUAAAGCUUAAAGGGCUCCCUAUGUUUGGGUGCUUUCAUCACCGGAGGAGUGCACAAAUAAUUCUUGAUCAUCUCAAAGGCUUCUUGCUGUUUCGCCCCCCCAAGUGAAAUCAACAUCAUUCUUUAACCGAAGGAUAGGAGUAAAUGCAUCAACUUACCCUGACAGAUUAGCUAUGAACCUUCUCAAAUAAUUGACCUUGCCAAGGAACUUUUGCAUAUCUCUCUUGCAUGUUGGAGCCUCCACUUUCUGUAUGGCCUCUAUCUUUUUGGGAUCAAUCUCUAUGCCAUCUUCAUGAAUAAUGAAACCCAAAAACUUGCCAGCUGACACGCCGAAUGCACACUUUAAAGGAUUCAUCUUCAGUCCAUACUUUUUCAUUCUUUCAAAAGCUAAACGCAAAUCGGCCAAGUGAGGUUCAAAAGCAUCCAACAUUUUUAAUCCGAAUGUCAUCACUGUCCACUCGAAUAAACCAAGGAAACAAGGGCAUCGAAAAGCUGUCUUGUACAUGUCCUCUUCGGCCAUAAAAAUUUGAUUGUAUCCGGCAUUACCAUCUAGAAAGCUAAUAACCUUAUGUCCAGAAACAUCAUUAAUAAGCAUAUCGGCUAUUGGCAUGGGAUACUCAUCUUUGGGUGUAGCCCUAUUCAAAUCUCUGAAGUCAAUGCACACCCUCAACUUGCCAGAUCCUUUCUUCUCCACUGGGACAAUGUUAGAAAUCCACUCGGCAUACCUGCAAGGUCGAAUGAAAUUAGCUUUAAGCAAACGACCGAUCUCUUCCUUGAUCUGGUCAUAUGUUUUUGGAUUAAACUUUUUGGCCGAUUGUUUGUAAGGUCUAAAACCGGCCUUUAUAGGUAACCGAUGCUCCACUAGCUCUCGGCUUAAACCUGGCAUCUCAUGAUAUUUCCAUGCGAAGCAACAAACAUAUUCUUUCAAUAGCUCGAUUAACUUAGCUUUACAAUCGGCUCUCAAAUUUUUGUUUACAAACAUCGGCCGAGUGACUGAACCAUCUCCAAUAUCUAUCUCUUCUAAUGGAUCGGCCGAUGUAAAACCUUGUCCAAGUUUAUCCAUGUCAUCUAACUCCUCUAUAGACUCAUACAUAUCGUCCUCGCUGGACCGAUAUUUUACAAGACGUUUCUGUAACCACUCGGAACUAGAAUUCAUUUAACAUAUCAUACCUUGGAGCUGAUUGCAUUCAGUCGGCUUUAAAGAGACAGGCACGAAACCAUUCUUGGUCCCGCUGAGAAAAUCGAACUCUGACAAGUCACGCCCCGUCAAGCAAGUAGCAUUGGGGUGUUGCCAAUCCACCGAUGCAUCGGCCAAAGCAACACAGGCCGAGUUAUCUGCAUGAAUGACUUCCACUUCAUCAUCAACCCAUUGGAUCAAAAACUGGUGCAUAGUGGACGACACGCACUGGUUUGCAUGAACCCAAUCACGGCCUAGUAUGACGUUGUAGUUACCUUGCACCUCAGCGACAAAGAAUGCAGUAGCCAAAGUUUUGCUUCCGACUGUAAGCUCCACAUACAUCGCACCUUUGGCUUCAGUUUUCUAUUUGCCUUCAAAUCCAUUGAGCACCAUAUUGGUCUUGAUCAAUUCUUCAUCAGGCAAACCCAAUUUCUUGAAGACUGAAUAGGGCAUAAGAUUUACCACAGCACCACCGUCAACAAGCAUCCGAGUGAGCGGCGACCCAUUGAUAUGACCUCUGAGAUAUAAUGGUUUCAGAUGCGUUACUAGUUCUUUUGGCUUCUCGAAUAUUGCGUUUUUAGGGCCAAAAUCCAGCUGAGCCACCUCCCCUUCCUCAUCUACAGCACGAAACUCAGCAGGUAAGUAAUACACCAUAUUGAUAUCCAUACCUUCAUGAACCGGCGUAGACUCAUAGUCCAACAUAUCAGCCUCCUCCUCGAGUGCAUCCACCGAUUCUGAAAUUUGUCCGAGUGAAGAGGAAGCAAUAGGUAACGUAGACGAUGCAAUGAUUGCAUCGUCCUUUUUUGGUAGUGUAGGUGCUGCUGUGAUAGGUGUAAAAGCUACUGCAUCUUGUAUUUGUUUGGGCCUCCACACUUGUUUUGUAGGUACCAUAGGCCGAGUGUCAUUGAAAAACUUAUCCCUUUGCUUCUCGGCUUCUUGUUCUGCCAUCUCUUGACUCCUUAACCUCUGUAGUUUCCUCUUUUGUGUCUUUGUUAGCCCUGGAGGACACCACUUUGGCUGAGUGUAUUUAGGAUCUCUCGUUUUUACCUGGCUAGUGCUUGCUUCAUGGUCAUUAGCCGAGUGCUUUGGCGCGAUAGCAAGUAUCGGCUCAGUCGGAUUGCUAUGCACAAUUGGCUGCUGUAUGGUGAAUGUUUCGGUGCCGAAGAUAAGUGAGUCGGCAUCCAUUUUCUCCUUGCCUUUUCCCGACUCAACUGCUGCAACACUUGGUGAUUUAACACGCCAUUCUUUUCGACUUUCCAGAUGCAUGAAAUUUCCACUCGGGCGCACCUUUUUACUCCGAUGGAAUCCACUCGGAUGGAUGUCACUCGGAUGGAAUCCACUCGGAUGGAAUCCACUCGGAUGGAAUUCAGUCGGAUGGAAUCUACUUGACCACAUUUUUUCACUCGGAUAGCCUCCACCUGGGUGCAUUCUUACACUCGGAUAAUUUCCAUCCGGUCGCAUGUUUUGACCAGCCGACCGAUAGUUACCGAUGUUUAUUCAACCAUUAUAUGAGUAUUCAAGUCGAUCCCAAACAGUUUGCCUUUGCUCUUCUGGAAACAGCGCCUUUGGUCCACUCGGUUUCAUAUACCGACUGAACAUAUCAUCUGAUGGUGACCUUGGUCGCUUCAACUGUGAUGGCUGGUUAGAGCUAGAACCAACUGACUGAUUGGCAUACUUGGACAGCAACAUAUCAAAAGUUGGCUUGAUCCGCUUGCGUUGCACUUUAGCUUCAUUCCUCUUCCACUUGCCAACUUCUGGACUCUUGGGUUUGACAAAUUUAACUCGAGUAUUUGUUGGGGAUCAUAGCAGAAUUUUAAAAUUUCCUACGCAUCACCAAGAUCCAUCUAUGGAGUAUACUAGCAACGAGGGGAAAGGAGUGCAUCUACAUACCCUUGUAGAUCGCGAGCGGAAGCGUUCAAGUGAAUGGGGUUGAUGGAGUCAUACUCGCCGUGAUCCAAAUCACCGAUGACCGAGUGCCGAACGGACGGCACCUCCGCGUUCAACACACGUACGGAGCAGCGACGUCUCCUCCUUCUUGAUCCAGCAAGGGGGAAGGAGAGGUUGAUGAAGAUCCAGCAGCACAACGGCGUGGUGGUGGAAGUAGCGGGGAUCCCGGCGGGGUUUCGCCAAGCGCAAGCGGGAGAGAAAGGUGUCACGGGAGGGAGAGGGAGGCGCCAGGGGCUAGGGUACAGCANNNNNNNNNNNNNNNNNNNNNNNNNNNNNNNNNNNNNNNNNNNNNNNNNNNNNNNNNNNNNNNNNNNNNNNNNNNNNNNNNNNNNNNNNNNNNNNNNNNNNNNNNNNNNNNNNNNNNNNNNNNNNNNNNNNNNNNNNNNNNNNNNNNNNNNNNNNNNNNNNNNNNNNNNNNNNNNNNNNNNNNNNNNNNNNNNNNNNNNNNNNNNNNNNNNNNNNNNNNNNNNNNNNNNNNNNNNNNNNNNNNNNNNNNNNNNNNNNNNNNNNNNNNNNNNNNNNNNNNNNNNNNNNNNNNNNNNNNNNNNNNNNNNNNNNNNNNNNNNNNNNNNNNNGGGGGGCGCCCCAGCCCACUAAGGGCUGGUUCCCUUCCCACUUCAGCCCAUGGGGCCCUCCGGGAUAGGUGGCCCCACCCGGUGGACCCCCAGGACCCUUCCGGUGGUCCCGGUACAAUACCGAUAACCCCCGAAACUUUCCCGGUGGCCGAAACUGGACUUCCUAUAUAUAAUUCUUCACCUCCGGACCAUUCCGGAACUCCUCGUGAUGUCCGGGAUCUCAUCCGGGACUCCGAACAACUUUCGGGUUUCCGCAUACUAAUAUCUCUACAACCCUAGCGUCACCGAACCUUAAGUGUGUAGACCCUACGGGUUCGGGAGACAUGCAGACAUGACCGAGACGCCUCUCCGGUCAAUAACCAACAGCAGGAUCUGGAUACCCAUGUUGGCUCCCACAUGUUCCACGAUGAUCUCAUCGGAUGAACCACGAUGUCGAGGAUUCAAUCAAUCCCGUAUACAAUUCCCUUUGUCAGUCGGUACGUUACUUGCCCGAGAUUCGAUCGUCGGUAUCCCAAUACCUUGUUCAAUCUCGUUACCGGCAAGUCACUUUACUCGUACCGUAAUGCAUGAUCCCGCGGCUAACUCCUUAGUCACAUUGAGCUCAUUAUGAUGAUGCAUUACCGAGUGGGCCCAGAGAUACCUCUCCGUCAUACGGAGUGACAAAUCCCAGUCUCGAUCCGUGCCAACCCAACAGACACUUUCGGAGAUAGCCGUAGUGCACCUUUAUAGUCACCCAGUUAUGUUGUGACGUUUGGCACACCCAAAGCACUCCUACGGCAUCCGGGAGUUGCACGAUCUCAUGGUCUAAGGAAAUGAUACUUGACAUUGGAAAAGCUCUAGCAAACGAACUACACGAUCUUUUGUGCUAUGCUUAGGAUUGGGUCUUGUCCAUCACAUCAUUCUCCUAAUGAUGUGAUCCCGUUAUCACUGACAUCCAAUGUCCAUAGUCAGGAAACCAUGACUAUCUGUUGAUCAACGAGCUAGUCAACUAGAGGCUUACUAGGGACACGUUAUGGUCUAUGUAUUCACACAUGUAUUACGAUUUCCGGAUAAUACAAUUAUAGCAUGAACAAUAGACAAUUAUCAUGAACAAAGAAAUAUAAUAAUAACCAUUUAUUAUUGCCUCUAGGGCUCCAACAGUCUCCCACUUGCACUAGAGUCAAUAAUCUAGUUACAUUGUGAUGAAUCGAACAUCCAUAGAGUUCUGGUGUUGAUCAUGUUUUGCUUUAGGGAGAGGUUUAGUCAACGGAUCUGCUACAUUCAGGUCCGUAUGUACUUUACAAAUAUCUAUGUCUCCAUUCUGAACACUUUCAUGAAUGGAGUUGAAGCGACGCUUGAUAUGCCUGGUCUUCCUGUGAAACCUGGGCUCCUUGGCAAGGGCAAUAGCUCCAGUGUUGUCACAGAAGAGCGUCAUCGGGCCCGACGCAUUGGGAAUCACCCCUAGGUCGGUGAUGAACUCCUUUAUCCAGACUGCUUCCUGUGCUGCCUCUGAGGCUGCCAUGUACUCCGCUUCACAUGUAGAUCCCGCCACAACGCUUUGCUUGCAACUGCACCAGCUUACUGCCCCUCCAUUCAAAAUAUACACGUAUCCGGUUUGUGACUUAGAGUCAUCCAGAUCUGUGUCGAAGCUAGCAUCGACGUAACCCUUUACGACAAGCUCUUCGUCACCUCCAUAAACGAGAAACAUAUCCUUAGUCCUUUUCAGGUACUUCAGGAUGUUUUUGACCGCUGUCCAGUGUUCCAUGCCGGGAUUACUUUGGUACCUUUCUACCAAACUUACGGCAAGGUUUACAUCAGGUCUGGUACACAACAUGGCAUACAUAAUAGACCCUAUGGCCGAGGCAUAGGGGAUGACACUCAUCUUUUCUCUAUCUUCUGCCGUGGUCGGGCAUUGAGCCGUGCUCAAUUGCACAACUUGCAAUACAGGCAAGAACCCCUUCUUGGACUGAUCCAUAUUGAACUUCUUCAAUAUCUUGUCAAGGUACAUACUCUGUGAAAGACCAAUGAGGCGUCUUGAUCUAUCUCUAUAGAUCUUGAUGCCUAAUAUAUAAGCAGCUUCUCCAAGGUCCUUCAUUGAAAAACACUUAUUCAAAUAGGCCUUUAUACUUACCAAGAAUUCUAUAUCAUUUCCCAUCAAUAGUAUGUCAUCCACAUAUAAUAUGAGAAAUGCUACAGAGCUCCCACUCACUUUCUUGUAAACACAAGCUUCUCCAUAAGUCUGUGUAAACCCAAACGCUUUGAUCAUCUCAUCAAAUCGAAUGCUCCAACUCCGAGAUGCUUGCACCAGCCCAUAGAUGGAGCGCUGGAGCUUGCAUACCUUGUUAGCAUUCUUAGGAUCGACAAAACCUUCCGGCUGCAUCAUAUACAAUUCUUCCUUAAGAAAGCCGUUAAGGAAUGCCGUUUUGACGUCCAUCUGCCAUAUCUCAUAAUCAUAGUAUGCGGCAAUUGCUAACAUGAUCCGGACAGACUUCAGCUUCGCUACGGGUGAGAAAGUCUCAUCGUAGUCAACCCCUUGAACUUGUCGAUAACCCUUAGCGACAAGUCGAGCCUUGUAGAUGGUUACAUUACCAUCCGCGUCUGUCUUCUUCUUAAAGAUCCAUUUAUUUUCUAUGGCUCGCCGAUCAUCGGGCAAGUCAGUCAAAGUCCAUACUUCGUUUUCAUACAUGGAUCCUAUCUCGGAUUUCAUGGCUUCUAGCCAUUUGUUGGAAUCAGGGCCCGCCAUCGCUUCUUCAUAGUUCGAAGGUUCACCGUUGUCUAACAACAUGAUUUCCAGGACAGGGUUGCCGUACCACUCUGGUGCGGAACGUGUCCUUGUGGACCUACGAAGUUCAGCAGUAACUUGAUCCGAAGCUUCAUGAUCAUCAUCAUUAACUUCCUCCCGAGUCGGUGUAGGCACCACAGGAACAUCUUCCCGCGCUGCGCUACUUUCCGGUUCGGAAGGGGUGACUAUCACCUCAUCAAGUUCCACUUUCCUCCCACUCAAUUCUUUUGAGAGAAACUCUUUCUCCAGAAAGGACCCGUUCUUGGCAACAAAGAUCUUGCCUUCGGAUCUGAGGUAGAAGGUAUACCCAAUAGUUUCCUUGGGGUACCCUAUGAAGACGCAUUUCUCCGACUUGGGUUCGAGCUUUUCAGGUUGAAGUUUCUUGACAUAAGCAUCGCAUCCCCAAACUUUUAGAAACGACAGCUUAGGUUUCUUCCCAAACCAUAAUUCAUACGGUGUUGUCUCAACGGAUUUCGACGGAGCCCUAUUUAAAGUGAAUGCGGCAGUCUCUAAAGCAUAGCCCCAAAAUGAGAGCGGUAGAUCGGUAAGAGACAUCAUAGAUCGCACCAUAUCCAAUAGAGUGCGAUUACGACAUUCGGACACACCAUUUCGCUGAGGUGUUCCAGGCGGCGUGAGUUGUGAAACUAUUCCACAUUUCCUUAAGUGUGUGCCAAACUCGUGACUUAAAUAUUCCCCUCCACGUUCUGAUCGUAGGAACUUUAUUUUCCUGUCACGUUGAUUCUCAACCUCACUCUGAAAUUCCUUGAACUUUUCAAAGGUCUCAGACUUGUGUUUCAUUAGGUAGACAUACCCAUAUCUACUUAAGUCAUCAGUGAGAGUGAGAACAUAACGAUAGCCACCGCGAGCCUCAACACUCAUUGGACCGCACACAUUGGUAUGUAUGAUUUCCAAUAAGUUGGUUGCUCGCUCCAUUGUUCCGGAGAACGGAGUCUUGGUCAUCUUACCCAUGAGGCAUGGUUCGCACGUGUCAAAUGAUUCAUAAUCAAGAGACUCCAAAAGUCCAUAUGCAUGGAGCUUCUUCAUGCGCUUGACACAAUUGUGACCAAGGCGGCAAUGCCACAAGUAUGUGGGACUAUCGUUAUCAACUUUACAUCUUUUGGUAUUCACACUAUGAAUAUGUGUAACAUCACGUUCGAGAUUCAUCAAGAAUAAACCAUUGACCAGCGGGGCAUGACCAUAAAACAUAUCUCUCAUAUAAAUAGAACAACCAUUAUUCUCGGAUUUAAAUGAGUAGCCAUCUCGCAUUAAACGAGAUCCAAAUACAAUGUUCAUGCUCAAAGCUGGCACUAAAUAACAAUUAUUGAGGUUUAAAACUAAUCCCGUAGGUAAAUGUAGAGGUAGCGUGCCGACGACGAUCACAUCGACCUUGGAACCAUUCCCGACGCGCAUCGUCACCUCGUCCUUCGCCAGUCUCCGUUUAUUCCGCAGCUCCUGUUUUGAGUUACAAAUAUGAGCAACCGCACCGGUAUCAAAUACCCAGGAGCUACUACGAGUACUGGUAAGGUACACAUCAAUUACAUGUAUAUCACAUAUACCUUUGGUGUUGCCGGCCUUCUUGUCCGCUAAAUAUUUGGGGCAGUUCCGCUUCCAGUGACCACUUCCCUUGCAAUAAAAGCACUCAGUCUCAGGCUUGGGUCCAUUCCUUGGCUUCUUCCCGGCAACUGGUUUACCGGGCGCGGCAACUCCCUUGCCGUCUUUCUUGAAGUUCUUCUUACCCUUGCCUUUCUUGAACUUAGUGGUUUUAUUCACCAUCAACACUUGAUGUUCCUUUUUGAUCUCCACCUCCGCUGAUUUCAGCAUUGAAUAUACCUCAGGAAUGGUCUUUUCCAUCCCCUGCAUAUUGAAGUUCAUCACAAAGCUCUUGUAGCUUGGUGGAAGCGACUGAAGGAUUCUGUCAAUGACCGCGUCAUCCGGGAGAUUCACUCCUAGCUGAGACAAGCGGUUGUGUAACCCAGACAUUCUGAGUAUGUGCUCACUGACAGAACUAUUUUCCUCCAUUUUACAACUGAAGAACUUGUCAGAGACUUCAUAUCUCUCGACCCGGGCAUGAGCUUGGAAAACCAUUUUCAGCUCUUCGAACAUCUCAUAUGCUCCAUGUUUCUCAAAACGCUUUUGGAGCCCCGGUUCUAAGCUGUAAAGCAUGCCGCACUGAACGAGGGAGUAAUCAUCAGCACGUGAUUGCCAAGCGUUCAUAACGUCUUGGUUCUCUGGGAUGGGUGCUUCACCUAGUAGUGCUUCUAGGACAUAAUCUUUCUUGGCAGCUAUGAGGAUGAUCCUCAGGUUCCGGACCCAGUCCGUAUAGUUGCUGCCAUCAUCUUUCAGCUUGGUUUUCUCUAGGAACGCGUUGAAGUUGAGGACAACGUGGGCCAUUUGAUCUACAAGACGUAUUGUAAAGAUUUUAGACUAAGUUCAUGAUAAUUAAGUUCAUCUAAUCAAAUUAUUCAAUGAACUCCCACUCAGAUAGACAUCCCUCUAGUCAUCUAAGUGAAACAUGAUCCGAGUUAACUAGGCCGUGUCCGAUCAUCACGUGAGACGGACUAGUCAAGAUCGGUGAACAUCUCCGUGUUGAUCGUAUCUUCUAUACGACUCAUGCUCGACCUUUCGGUCUUCCGUGUUCCGAGGCCAUGUCUGUACAUGCUAGGCUCAUCAAGUCAACCUAAGUGUAUUGCGUGUGUUCCGAGGCCAUGUCUGUAGGCUCGUCAACACCCGUUGUAUGCGAACGUUAGAAUCUAUCACACCCGAUCAUCACGUGGUGCUUCGAAACAACGAACCUUCGCAACGGUGCACAGUUAGGGGGAACACUUUCUUGAAAUUAUUAUAAGGGAUCAUCUUACUUACUACCGUCAUUCUAAGCAAAUAAGAUGCAAAACAUGAUAAACAUCACAUGUAAUCAAAUAGUGACAUGAUAUGGCCAAUAUCAUUCUGCUCCUUUGAUCUCCAUCUUCGGGGCGCCAUGAUCAUCUUCGUCACCGGCAUGACACCAUGAUCUCCAUCAUCAUGAUCUCCAUUAUUGUGUCUUCAUGAAGUUGUCACGCCAACGAUUACUUCUACUUCUAUGGCUAACGCGUUUAGCAAUAAAGUAAAGUAAUUUACAUGGCGUUAUUCAAUGACAUGCAGGUCAUACAAAAAAUAAAGACAAAUCCUAUGGCUCCUGCCGGUUGUCAUACUCAUCGACAUGCAAGUCGUGAUUCCUAUUACAAGAAUAUGAUCAAUCUCAUACAUCACAUAUAUCAUU
Molecule: long non-coding RNA, 72817 nt
Filed under: Triticum aestivum (bread wheat)
Lineage: Eukaryota; Viridiplantae; Streptophyta; Magnoliopsida; Poales; Poaceae
Description: long non-coding RNA (TAES_LNC017474)
Rfam family: MIR1120/MIR1122 microRNA precursor family (bases 46211-46347)
Source: RNAcentral